This 68584-nucleotide long non-coding RNA is filed under the name Brassica napus (rape). Its description in RNAcentral is "long non-coding RNA (BNAP_LNC003769)". Lineage: Eukaryota; Viridiplantae; Streptophyta; Magnoliopsida; Brassicales; Brassicaceae. The record is from RNAcentral.
UGCCCCGAACUCCCUCGGCCAUUGCACCAACGGAUCCACCGACCCUUCUCUCCUCGACGCCAAUAGCCUGAAAUCAAUAUCCGCUGGGAUUAUAUGACGUGAACCGCAAGGUUCACCUCAGGAAUGAGACUCAGGGAGCGUGAGGUCUGCAACCUUGAUGGAUCGCUUAAUGAUCACGGCCGGCGAGGAUCUUGUUUGCUGUGGAAAAGAUCAUUUGGCUCUACGGAUGGGAGACGGAGGAGGAGGUGGUGGAGUCAAUUAAGAGUCGUUCAAUGGCUCCUGAUUCGCAUCAGAGCCAUUGAAUGAUCAUAUAUUCAUAUGGUUCUCUAACUUCUUUUCCGCUGCGAAGAUUUGAAUGUCAGAUUGGAAAAAAGCUUUGAGAAGUUGAAGAUGUUGCCAGCUUGGAUUUGGGCUAACGUGUGGGCCGCGUUUGAUUUUGACCCCGUCUACUUGUUCUGCUUCGAAGUUGCCAAAUGAUCUCAAGGACGAGACAAACCUGAGCUUUACUUCAAAUGGGUUAGCUUUAGUGAAACCUGGUGUAAGAACCUUUGAAUAAAUUUGAAAGUAUAAAACCUAAACCAUAUAAAUAGCUAUAUUCGACUAAAAAUAAGCCUCGAAAGCAAACUAUAGUUUUUUUACGGAUAGCAUUUAUUAACUAUUUGGUUUCUUAAAAAAAUAUUUGUUUUGAAAAAGAAAAAGAAAAUCUUUGACAUCUACAUUACUGAAUUCAAAUAUUGAACAAAAUUUAGUCUAUCAAUGAAAGAACAAAAUCUCCUAUUAAUCAAUUUUUCUUAAAAUGUUUUUAGGUUGUUGAGUGUAUCAGUGUAUGGUAAGAAAUAAAUAAUACAAAAGUAAUAUUGAAAAUGUAAAAACAUGUGAUUGGAUCAAAUAUUUUAAUAUUCACUUUCAUAUCUUCACUUUUAGUUGUAUUAAAGAUAAUUAAGCCCCAUAAACUACGAUUUUCCAACAAAAAAGAAUCAUAUAUAUGGAAAGAACAAUAUAACAUGUAUCCCGACGUUGCCAUGAAUGAUCAAACAUAACAGAAACAAACACUAUAAAGUUAGUUGAUAACAACCCCAACCUAAUCGAAGGGUCGUUAUUUCAAAUAGAUAUGUAUUACAAGGGUAUAUCAUUAUAGCUAUUGGAUGUCUCUGAGUUCCAUCUUGUUUUCCUGGAGUGAUUAAAAUAUAAAAGUCUGUACCAACCAAGUUUCGUUUUAAAAGUUUAAGAUAAGUGGACCAACUAAGUUAACAAGUGUAAAUUCUACAUUUUUUACUUUGCAAAGAAAAGUUGAUCACAAGUGUGGUGAGUGUGCAUUAUUGAAGUUGAAGGGCAUGCAUGUGAUUAUACACUAAUUGGUUAGUCAUAGCAUCUUCCGUACGUUAGUAAGCUUCGCUAAUGGUCCCCAUUUGAUUUUAUAAUUUGUCCCAUGAGAUUUUGGGCAAUAUAUAAGAUGACAAGUUACACUAUCAACACGAAUAGGACGCAGAGCUAUAGGAACUAGGAAGGAUAUUCUUGUAUUAAACUUAAUACAUUGAAAACAGUUGUUUAUUACAAACGAUAUAAUUGUAUAUAGGUUUGGCAAUAGGGAGACAUGGAACAAGUUUUGGUGACAUCGAAGCUGUCGCUAUCAAAGAAGAUGUAAUGAAAGUAUCAAAUAGCUUACUAACUCAUAUGUAUGGGUCUGAGUAGACAAUCCCACACCGCCGCUAAUGAUUUUGUUAUUUCAAAAUUCUUCACUUUAUCGAAGAUAUUAACUUUUAUGUUAGAGAAUUGCAGCUAAAAUGCCUUUAAGAUGACACCAUCAUUGAUUUUGUAUCUUUUACAUUAUCAAAGAAAUUUAUAUUUAUAAAAUGUAAAUUGCAACUAGACGCCCUUAAUCCCUUUCUACGAUGUAAUUAUAAUUAUGAUGUUUAUCCUUAUGUAAAUAUUGUGGAAAAGUGAUCCAAAUGAUUUUUUCUGUAAAUUUAAUUCUUGUAUAUGUAAAUUGAUAUUUUUUUGGUUAAGAAAAAUAAGAAUAACUAUAUAAAUAUAUUCCAAUAAAUAAAAGUGAAAUUAUUUUGUGACAGAGACCAAAACACGAAAGUGUAGGUAUAAGAAUACGCAAUGUAAAAGUUUAUUCUAUAAGAACCCAUAUAUCAUAUACGUAAAAACUAACGUAUGUACAUCUAAUGAUAAGUAAGAUAUAUGAUGAUGGUGUCUAUGGAUGGUGGAGAAUCUAUACAUCUAAUAUUCUGACAACCAACUCUCGUGAUCUAGCCAAACUAUCUAACAAAAUCAUAUUGCUCUAACUCUUGUUCUUGUUGGUUACAUAAAGCAAUAAUUAGGCGAAAAGGGUUCAAAACCCUGUUGAGAAUAAGUUUCACGGUUUUACCAAGAGACAAACCCAUCAAAUGAUUUUCGAAUUUUGAAACCAAGAUAUAUCCAAUACGAUCAAUCUAACCCUGUUGAGGAACUCAGAACGUCAACAAGUACAUCAGCUGCAAGUACCAUGUGUCAAUCACACUUCUCAUUUUCCUAUGCACCGAACCAGAAAAAAUCUUCUUCACUAUCUAUAUGUUGGGAGAACGUGAAACACAAACUGCAAACAUGUGUAUCGAUGAUAUACAAUUAUUAGUCUUAGAUUUUUGUGAAACUAGUUCUUGACUGGAGUUUUAUACAUUCAUUAUUAUACGAAGUUUAAACUAGGUGUAGCAAUAGAUAAUAAUAAUUAAACCCAAGCAUGGUUUAUCUAAAGAUGAUAUACAUAGAGAGUUCCCAAAGCUUUUUACUUCUCCACUUUCAUCAUCGGUGGCAUUCUCAUCUGAUAGGCCCUUGAGCAUUUUAAUCACACACACACACACAUAUAUAUAUAUAUAUAUAACUGCUUCUUUUUGAGAAAUAUAGGUGAUCAUAACUGCUUUGUUGUCUCUCUUCAUUGCCAGAAUUGAACAUCUAGCUAUACAUUUAGCGUUAUCAAGUAAAUCAUAUUGUCUAGCGUCUAACAAAAUUUGGUUUAAAAUGUAUUAACUACAAGUCUUAAUGAAACGAAGGAAGUAAACUAUUGUCAAAAGUUAUAUAGGAAAGAAACAUUCAAACACUAAUCUAAAAGAGACGAAUAUAAUUAAAGGCAAGAGUUGGCAAAUAUUUUAUCCACCAAAGUGAAGUCAUAUUAUAUUUGAUUUUUUACUAUAAGUGUAAGCCUUUCUUAUUUUUUUUGUCAAGCUUGCUAUAAGUAGAAAAUAAAGUAUAAAGGAAACACUUUAGUUAAUUCGUUCAGUGACUUCUGUCUAAGAUAACUGUGUGGAAGUGUAUAUAUAUAUAUUAAGAAGAUAACACUUAACUCAUGUCUAUACAUACAUACGAAGAAACAGGUUCCGGGAAGAAAAAAAUAGUCCUACACAUACAUACAUAUUUUUUAAUGGAAAAGGCGAGUAAAAUUGUAAAGUAAUUGAGAAUAAUUAUGGUGGACUAAUGGAAGUGAACAUAAAUACGAGGGGAAGGAACAUAAACAUUCUCCUUGUCUCUCACACUCCCAGACACACAUUCGUUCCAGUUUUCGUAGUUACUAACAUAUCUUUUUGUUAAGUGAAGUGUGAUAAAUAUAAUAUACAAACAUCAAUAUAAAUGAGCAUGUGCAGAUCGAACAUGAAAAGCAGUGAGUCUGGAGAGAUUGUAAACGGAGAAUGCGAUGUUUCAACGUCCGUAAAAGAAGAAACUAGUGGCAACGCCAAAUUCUCCGCUGGUCUCCGUCGCAUCCCUUUCAACGAGGCUUGUUUCUAUCUCCUUCUUGUUUACAUUUUCGUCCACAAAGUAUUUUUUGAUUAGGUUGGACAAUGCUUACUGUUUUUUUUACUAAGACAAUGCUUACUGUUUGAUUCAUACUUCUCGUGUGUUUUCAUUGGUGAAAACUAGUUUUCGUGAUUCAAGAUCUUAUUCACAUAAUAUAGAUACGUUAUCUACGUUUUUUAUACUAUACAUUUUCGGUCACUUUUUCAGGUUUUGGGGUGUAAAUUAUAUGGAAUUCUUGGAACUUGAUCUUAGACUGGACUGAAUGCCUGCUUUUGACUGUUUUAAUAGCAAUUUAAUGGAAAGUAAUGUAUCUCUUUUAGAAUCAAUUUGAAGAAAACUUCAAUAUUUUCACUUAGUUAACAAGUAUAUUGUCAUCCAUUAUAUGUAACUGUUGUCUAUGUAUAUAUGAUGUAUGAAUGUGUGUGUGUUGAUAUUUAUAUAUAUGAAUAAAGCGUCACUAGUAUGAUAUGCAUCCUCAGUUUCAUGGACUGAGAUAGAUGCUUUGUUUUGGGGUUGUACUUACUUAGAAAAGUUUUCUAUAUAUGUUUCCUCAUUAUAUAUAUUUUUAUUAGCUCAUUUAGUUAGUACAAAGUACUUUAUUAUCUUAUUAGUUCUGUUUUAAAUAUAAUCUACUUACUUUUCAUUUACUUUCUUGAAAACUCUUAACUUAUUUUCUUUUUGAUAUCUCAAUUAUAGUUCAUUAUAUUUUUUAUGAUAUAUGAAUUCCUUCUUAGACGAUUUUAUGAUAUCACAAUUAAAGUUUUCUAUAUAUGUUUCCUCAUUAUAUAUAUUUUUCUUAGCUCAUUUAGUUAGUACAAAGUACUUUAUUAUCUUAUUAGUUCCAUUUUAAAUAUAAUCUACUUACUUUUCAUUUACUUUUCUUGAAAACUCUUUAGUCAUUUUCUUUUUGAUAUCUCAAUUAUAGUUCAUUAUAUUUUUUAUGAUAUAUGAAUUCCUUCUUAGACGAUUUUGUGUUUGUAAAGUAUUGAUAUUUCUAGUGAAAAUCAUAAAAUGAAAGAUAUCUAAGCUGAUUUGUUUUCAAAAAGAAAAUAAAAGGUGCGUUUUUUAGAACCCAUGAUGACUUUUAUUAAAAAAGAUCCUAGAAUGUUGGUACAGUUAGUCAUUCGCUUUUCUGUCACUAGUGAAUUUGAUUAUUCAGUUCUAAAAGUUAUAGAAUUUAAACCUUUUUUCUCUUCUUUUUGAACUUUCUCCUUCCAGUCCCAGUGGCCAUGUGAUGCGACCAUCUUCCUCGUGCUUCCAAAUUACUCUUAAUUUUUAAUGAUAAAUAUUAUUUUCGUAGUAUAUGUAAUAUCGUUCUGUUGAUCACAAUAACAAUUUACUUUAAGCCUACUUUUUUUUAAUACAAAGAGCGUUUUGUACUUGAAAUGUAAAAAAAUAGUCAAAUACUAUAUUAUACAAUUUGUAAAUUGGAAAUUUAUUAUUUUUUUCUCAACACUUGUUUAGUUUUGUUUAUAGAACGAGUACUAAUGAGUGGGUAUAUACAGUACCAGUCCUGAGGGGAAGCCAUAGAAUUAUAGAAGUAUGUGUUUCCAGCCUUGUUUACGAUAAAUAAAUAUCCACGUCCGCAAAUUUAACAGAAUCUCUUGUAGCUCAGUUGGAUAAUAACAUGCAAAUAUCAUGAGAGGUGAAAGUCAUUUUUCAAUAUUUUUGUUACCAUUUAUUAUUUUGGGCUUCCGACCCCCGAGUCAGUGGCGGAUGUAGCCAAUUUUUUUGUUGGGGGGCAAGUUACAAGUAAACAUAGAAAUUAGAGGUAGAAUAUAAAUAUGAGUGAUGUAUCAUAUCUAAUGAUGCACAAAGAUAGACAUUAAACAUAAAGGAAAAAUAACUAGUUUUUUUUGUUUUGUUAAUGUCAAUAUAAUUAUCUCUCGCGUCUCAAUUAGUAUAUAAUUAUAGUACAAUGAAACCUCUAUACAUUAAUAAAUUAAUGAUGCUGAGACUAUACUAAAACUAUAAUUUUUUAUUAAUUUAUAAAUAUAUUAAUUUAUCGAUAUAUUAAUUAAAUCAAAAACUCAAUUUAGAACUAUAAAAUUAUAUUAUUUUAUACAGAUUUUUAGUAUAUAUUAAUUUAUAAAAUAUUAAUUUAAAAAGGUUAUACACAUAACAUUUUCUUGAAUGCGUUUUGGUACAAGUCUAGAACAGUAAAAUAAUAAAUAGUUGUUCAAUAAUUGAAAAAACUAACGAAAAUGUCACAACUUUUUUUCCAUGCAGGUGGGAGAGGAAAUGGCAUCGCUAACAAAAAUAGCAUGCCCGAUCGUGAUGACAUCACUCCUCAUUUUCUCCAGAUCAUUAAUCUCAAUGUGGUUUCUAAGUCACCUCGGGAAAGUUGAACUCGCUGGCGGUGCACUCGCCAUGGGCUUCGGAAACAUCACUGGAGUCUCGGUACUCAAAGGUCUUUCCGUUGGUAUGGACCCAAUCUGUGGCCAAGCCUUUGGAGCCAAACGUUGGACCGUACUUAGCCACACGUUUCAGAAAAUGUUCUGUCUCUUAACAGCCGUUUCUAUACCAAUAGCCGUUGCAUGGCUCAACAUCGAACCCAUAUUUCUCAGGUUGGGUCAGGACCCCGACAUAACCCGUGUCGCUAAGAGUUACAUGGUCUUCUUCGUCCCUGAGUUACUAGCUCAGGCCAUGCUCCACCCGCUCCGAACGUUCCUCAGAACGCAAGGCUUAACGUCACCGUUGACCAUAUCAGCGAUCAUAUCCAUUCUUCUACAUCCUCUAUUUAACUACGUCUUCGUCGUGCGUAUGCGUUUAGGUGUUGAAGGUGUCGCGGUCGCGAUGGCCUUCAACACUAUGAACAUCAACGUGGGACUGCUCGUCUACACGUGUUUUUCGGACUCUCUAAUCAAACCGUGGGAAGGACUUGCUUUGCGGUCGCUUUUCCGCGGUUGGUGGCCGCUGCUUUCUCUAGCCGCACCAAGCGCUAUCUCGGUGUGUUUGGAGUAUUGGUGGUAUGAGAUAAUGCUUUUUCUUUGUGGGCUUCUCGGUAACCCUAAAGCAAGUGUUUCGGCCAUGGGGAUAAUGAUUCAGACAACGGGGCUACUCUACGUAGUCCCAUUCGCUAUAAGCACGGCCAUUGCGACUCGUGUAGGACAUGCGCUUGGUGGCGGCCAUCCUACACGGGCGCAAUGUACAACCGUUAUCGGUCUGAUACUCGCGGUAGCGUACGGGCUAUCAGCUGCUGUCUUUGUAACCGCGCUCAGGUCGGUUUGGGGGAAGAUGUUUACGGAUGAAACCGAGAUUCUUGGGUUGAUCUCGUCGGCGCUUCCGAUCUUAGGGCUUUGUGAAAUCGGAAACUCGCCGCAGACAGCGGCUUGCGGAGUCUUGACAGGCACGGCGAGGCCUAAAGAUGGGGCACGUGUUAACCUAUGUGCGUUCUACAUCGUCGGCUUGCCUGUGGCAGUAACGUCCACGUUUGGGUUUAAAGUUGGGUUUUGUGGGCUAUGGUACGGUAUGCUCGCUGCGCAGAUUACAUGUUUGGUUAUGAUGCUUUGUACGUUGGUUCGUACGGACUGGGAACAUCAGGUGAAGCGAGCAGAGGCACUUACCGCCGCUGCAGCUGAUAGAAGUCGUUCGGAAGAACAUACCAUCCAUACCGAAGUCGAAAAUGAUGAUGAUCUAGAGAUUGGUUUGUUACAAAACACAAAUGACUAAUUUAGAAUUGUUUAAAAUUUUCAAUCGGAAAUUUUAACGGAUUGUUAAUUAUAUAUAGGGUUUUUUUCUUUGGGCAAAUUAAAAUACUCUAGAUAGAGUUGCAUCCAAAUUGUUAUAGGCUGAUAAACAAUAUCUUGGUAAAAGUGUCAUAAGUACGAUCAAAUUGGUUGAGCUAAGUUUUGUUAACAUGUAAGCAACCAUUUUUUUUUCAUAUAAAGUCAACUAUGUAGUGAAGAAAUAGUUGUGACGAAAUUUAAUGAUUUAUGACUCCUCUAAAAUGCCUCUGAAUUUUUGUGAACAACAAACAAUAAGGCCGACUCUCCCAGCUCACCCAGCCCAAUCAUAUAUGAUCUAUGUUACACGGUACAUCAGGCUAUUUCUUGCCGUAGCUAGGAUUGUUGGUUAGGAACGUAAAAUAAAUAAUUUGAGGAUUCAUAUCCAUAACCCGCUCCAUGUUGGGACGAUUUGUAUUUAGCAAGUUCUCGGUUUGGAUUGACACAUCUGUGUAUAUGACCUCUGAGUUUCUCAUUCUAAUUUUUAAAUAAAUUUUCCAAAACCUGCUAUUUUUGGAAAGUUGUCAUUUCGUUGUAAAAAUAUUGUAGAUUUGAGAUUGUGAUUUAUAAAUUAGGAUAAAAGAGUUUUUGUUGAUAGAUAUGUAUGCUUUAAAAAAUUUUGAUCAAUAAGUUAUAAUGUUUAAAUAAAUUUUCCAAAACCUACUAUUUUGGGAAAGUUAUUAUUUUUCUAUAGAAAUAUUGCAGAUUUUGGAUUGUUAUUUAGAAAUUAGGAUAACAAGAUUUUUUGUUGACAGAUGGGUAUGCUUUUGUAAUUUUUGAUAAAUAUGUUAUAUUUUAAAAAUAAAAUUUAUAAGAACUGCUAUAUUUUGGAAAGUUAUCAUUUUUGUAGAGAAAUAAUGUAGAUUUGGGAUUGUGAUUUAGAAAUUAAGAUAACAAAAGUUUUUUUGUUAGAGAUGGGUAUGGUUUUAGAAUUUUUGAUCAAUAGGUUAUAAUUUUUAAAUAAAUUUUCUAAAACCUGCUAUUUUUGGAAAAUUAUCAUUUUGUUGAUAAAUAUUGUAGAUUUGGAAUUAUGAUUUAGAAAUAAGGAUAACAAGAGUUUUUAUUGAUAUAUGGGUAUGCUUUUAGAAUUUUUGAUCAAUAUGUAUCUUUUAGAUAAAUUUUCUAAAACUUGCUAUUUUAAAAACAAAUUAUCAUUUUUUGUAGAGAAAUAUUGUAGAUAUAUGAUUGUGAUUUAGAAAUUAGGAUAACAAGAGUUUUUGUUAAUAGUUGGUACGCACUUUUAGAACUUUUGAUCAAUAAGUUAUAAUGUUUAAAUAUAUUUUCCAAAACCUACUAUUUUGGGAAAUUUGUCAUUUUUCUAGAGAAAUAUUGUGGAUUUUGGAUUGUUAUUUAGAAAUUAGGAUAACAAGAGUUUUUGUUGAUAGAUGAGUAUGUUUUUAUAAUUUUUUUACCAAUAGGUUAUCACUUUAAAUUAAAUUUUCCAAAAUCUGCUACGUUGGGAAAAUUAUCAUUUUUGUACAGAAAUAUUAUAAAUUUGGGAUUGUGAUUUAGAAAUUAAGAUAACAAGAUUUUUGUUGAUAUAUGGGUAUGCUUUUGUAAAUUUUAAUCAAUAGGUUAUAUUUUAUAAAUAAGAUUUAUAAGAACUGCUAUUUUUAGAAAGUUAUCAUUUUCGUAGAGAAAUAUUGUAUAUUUGGAAUUGUGAUUUAGAAAGUAGGAUAACAAGAGUUUUUGGUUAUAGAUGGGUAUGGUUUAAGAAAUUUUCAUCAAUAGGAUAUAAUAUUUAAAUAUAAUUUCCAAAACCUGAUAUUUUUGGAAAGUUGUCAUUUUGUUGAUAAAUAUUGUAGAUUUGAGAUUGUGAUUUAGAAAUUAGGAUAAAAAUAGUUUUUGUUGAUAGAUAGGUAUGCUUUUAGAAUUUUUUUAUCAAUAAGUUAUAAUGUUUAAAUAAAUUUUUCCAAAACCUACUAUUUUGGGAAAGUUAUCAUUUUUCUAUAGAAAUAUUGUAGAUUUUGGAUUGUGAUUUAGAACUUAGGAUAACAAGAGUUUUUUUUGAUAGAUGGGUAAUAUUUUAUAAAUUUUUUCAAUAAAAUGUAAUGUUUAAAUAAUUUUUCCAAAACCUACUAUUUUGGGAAAAUUAUCAUUUUUCUAGAGAAAAACUGUAGAUUUUGGAUUGUGAUUUAGGAUUGUAUUUAGAAAUUAGGAUAACAAGAUUUUUUAUUGAUAGAUGGGUAUGAUUUUGUAAUUUUUGAACAAUAGGUUAUAUUUUAUAAAUAAAAUUUCUAAGAACUUCUAUUUUUUGGAAAGUUAUCAUUUCUGUAGAGAAAUAUUAUAUAUUUGAGAUUGUGAUUUAGAAAUUUGGAUAUCAAGAGCUUUUGGUUAUAAAUGGGUAUGGUUUGUAGUUUGCUCAAAAAUGGGUAUGGUUUAAGAAAUUUUGAUCAAUAUAUUAUAAUUUUUAAAUAAAUUUUCAAAAACUUACUUUUUUUUGGAAAGUUGUCAUUUUAUUUAUAAAUAUUUUAGAUUUAGGAUUGUGAUUUAGAAAUUAGGAUAACAAGAGUUUUUGUUGACAUAUAGGUAUACUUUUAGAAUUUUUGAUCAAUAAGUUAUAAUGCUUAAAUAAAUUUUCCAAAAUCUACUAUUUUGAGAAAGUUAUCAUUUUUCUAUAGAGAUAUUGUAGAAUUGGGAUUGUGAUUUAAAAAUUAGGAUAACAAGAGUUUUUGUUGAUAGAUAGGUAUGCUUUUAGAAUUUUUGAUCAAUAAGUUAUAAUGUUCAAAUAAAUGAUCCAAAAGCUACUAUUUUGGGGAAAUUAUCAUUUUUUCUAUAAAAAUAUUGUAUAUUCGGGAUUGUAAUUUAGAAAUUAGGAUAUCAAGAGUUUUUGGAUAUAGAUGGGUAUGGUUUAAGAAUUUUUGAUCAAUAGGUUCUAAUUUUUAAGUAAAUUUUUCAAAACUUACUAUUUUUGGAAAGUUAUCAUUUUUCUAUAGAAAUAUUGUAGAUUUGAGAUUGUGAUUUUGAAACUAGGAUAACAAGAGUUUUUGUUGUUAGAUAGGUAUGCUUUUAUAAUUUUUUAUCAAUAGGUUAUAUUUUUUAAAUAAAUUUUCUAAAACCUACUAUUUUGGAAAAAUUAUCAUUUUUGCAGAGAAAUAUUAUAGAUUUGUGAUUGUUAUUUUGAAAUUAGGAUAACAAGAUUUUUUAUUGAUAGAUGGGUAUGCUUUUGUAAUUUUGUAUCAUUAGGUUAUAAUUUUAAAAUAAAAUUUCUAAGAAUUGUUAUUUUUAGAAAAUUAUCAUUUUCAUAGAGAAAUAUUGUAUAUUUGGGAUUGUGACUUAGAAAUUAAGAAAUCAAGAGCUUUUGGUUAUAGAUGGGUGUGGUUUAAGAAUUUUUGAUCAAUAGUUUAUAAUUUUUAAAUAAAUUGUCCAAAACUUAUUAUUUUUGGAAAGUUAUCAUUUGUUGAUAAAAAUUGUAGAUUUGGGAUUGUGACUUAGAAAUUAGGAUAACAAGAGUUUGAGUUGAUAGAUAGGUAUGCUUUUAGAAAUUUUGAUCAAUAAGUUAUAAUGUUUAUAUAAAUUUUCCAAAACCUACUAUUUUGGAAAAUUUAUAAUUUUGUAUAGAAAUUUUGUAGAUUUUGGACUGUGAUUUAGAAAUUAGGAUAACAAGAAUUAUCAUUUUAUUGUAGAAAUAUUGUAGAUUUUGGAUUGUGAUUUAGAAAUUAGGAUAACAAGAGUUUUUUUUUGAUAGAUGGGUAUGGUUUUAUAAUUUUUUAUCAAUAGGUUACAUUUUUUAAAUAAAUUUUCCAAAACCUACUAUUUUGGGAAAAUUAUCAUUUUUGCAGAGAAAUAUUAUAGAUUUUUGAUUGUGAUUUUGAAAUUAGGAUAAUAAUAUUUUUUAUUGAUAGAUGGGUAUGCUUUUGUAAUUUUUGAUCAUUAGGUUAUAUUUUUAAAAUAAUAUUUCUAAGAAAUUGUAUUUUUUGAAAAUUAUCAUUUUCGUAGAGAAAUAUUGUAUAUUUGGGAUUGUGAUUUAGAAAUUAAGAUAUCAAGAGCUUUUGGUUAUAGAUGGGUAUGGUUUAAGAAUUUUUGAUCAAUAGUUUAUAAUUUUUAAAUAAAUUGUCCAAAACUUACUAUUUUUGGAAAGUUGUAAUUUGUUGAUAAAAAUUGUAGAUUUGAGAUGUGAUUUAAAAAUUAUGAUAACAACAGUUUUUGUUAAUGUAUAGGUAUGUUUUUAGAUAUUUUGAUCAAUAAGUUAUAAUGUUGAAAUAAAUUUUCCAAAACCUACUAUUUUGGGAAAGUUAUCAUUUUUCUAUAGAAAUAUUGUUGAUUUUGGAUUGUGAUUUAUAAAUUAGGAUAACAAGAGUUUUUGUUGAUAGAUGGGUAUGGCUUUAGAAUUUUUGAUCAAUAAGUUGUAAUGUUUAAAUAAAUUUUCCAAAACCUACUAUUUUGGGAAAGUUAUCAUUUUUCUAUAGAAAUAUUGUAGAUUUUGGAUUGUGGUUUAGAAAUUAGGAUGAUAAAAAUUUUUUUUGAAAGAUAGGUAUGCUUUUAGAAUUUUAAAUUUUUGAUCAAAAAGGUAUAAUGUCAAAAUAAAUUUUCCAAAACCUACUAUUUUGGGAAAGUUAUCAUUUUUUCUAAAGAAAUAUUGUACAUUUUGUAUUGUGAUUUAGAAAUUAGGAUAACUAGAGUUUUUGUUGAUAGAUGGGUAUGGUUUUAUAAAUUUUUUUCAAUAGGUUAUAUUUUUAAAAUAUAUUGUCCAAAACCUACGAUUUUGGGGAAGUUAUCAUUUUUCUAGAGAAAAAAUGUAGAUUUUGGAUUGUGAUCUAGAAAUUAGGAUAACAAGAGUUUUUUUUGAUAGAUGGGUAUAGUUUUAUAAUUUUUUUCAAUAAGAUGUAAUGUUAAAAUAAAUUUUCCAGAACCUACUAUUUUGGGAAAAUUAUCAUUUUUCUAGAGAAAAAUUGUAGAUUUUGGAUUGUGAUUUAGAAAUUAGGAUAACAAGAGUUUUUGUUGAUAGAUUGGUCUGGUUUUCAAUAAGUUAUAUUUUUUAAAUAAAUUUUUUAAAACCUACUAUUUUGAGAUAGUUAUCAUUUUUCUAUAGAAAUAUUGUAGAUUUUGGAUUGUGAUUUAGAAAUUAGGAUAACAAGAGUUUUUGUUGAUAGAUGAGUAUGGUUUUAUAAUUUUUUAUAAAUAGGUUAUAUUUUUAAAUAUAUUUUCUAAAACAUACUAUUUUGGGAAAGUUAUCAUUUUUUUAGAGAACAAUUGUAGAUUUUGGAUUGUAAUUUAGAAAUUAGAAUAACAAGAUUUUUUGUUGAUAUGUGGAUAUGGUUUUAUAAUUUUUUUUCAGUAAGAGUAAUGUUUAAAUAAAUUUUCUAAAAUCUACUAUUUUGGGAAAAUUAUCAUUUUUCUAAAGAAAAAUUGUAGAUUUUGGAUUGUAAUUUAGAAAUUAGGAUAACAAGAGUUUUUGUUGAUAGAUUAGUCUGGUUUUUUAUUUAACAACAAAAACUCUUGUUAUCAUAAUAAGUAGGUUAUAGAAAAAUGAUACCUUUCCUAAAAUAGUAGGUUUUAGAAAAUUUAUUUAAAAAAUAUAACCUAUUGAAAACCAUACCCAUCUAUCAACAAAAACUCUUGUUAUCAUAAUUUCUAAAUCACAAUCUAAAAUCUACAAUAUUUCUCUAGAAAAAUGAUAAUUUUUCCAAAAUAGUAGGUUUUGAAAAAUUUAUUUAAACAUUAUAACUUAUUGAUCAAAAGUUCUAAAAGUGUGUAUCUACUAUCAAAAAUUUUUUUGUUAUCCUAAUUUCUAAAUCACGAACUCAUAUCUACGAUAUUUUUCUAAGAAAAUGAUAUUUUUUUUUAAAAAAAAGGACAGGUUUUAAAAAAAUUAUCUAAAAGAUAUAUAUUGAUAAAAAAUUUCUAAAAGCAUUCAUAUAUCAACGAAAAGUCUCGUUAUGCUAAUUUCUUGCAUCUCCUUCCAAUAGUUUCUUUCAACCUAAAAUACAAAACCUUUCUCUCAUACCACCAUCAUGUCCUCUUCCAAGUCCAACGACACGUUCCCUGUCGCUACUAUAGUGUCACUCACCAUUGAGGUUGUUAUAAUCAAUACCAACGCACAUAACGCGUUUUUCGAUGUUGAAUGACCAGUGUUGCUAAACUUUGCCACAAAAUUACUCGGAUGCAAUGCCAUUUCUUUCGAUUUUUCUUUUUGAACACCUUCAUUUCUUUCGAUUUAAAAUUUUAAACCUAAACUCGCAGGUGUUUGAUGUAAUUUAUGUUCAACAUAAAUUCAUAAACAUAAAUUUAUAAACUGUUGGUUUUAUAAAAUAUAUAUAUAUAUAUAUAUAUUUCUAUGUUUUUUUUUAAUUUACACAUAGAACAUAAUAUAUUGUUGUAUAAUAUAGAUGUUUGAUAAUAAUUUUUUUGUAUAUAAUAUUAUAUUAAAUUUUAUAAUUUGAUGUAAUUGUAUUAUUCAUAUAAUAACCUGUUGUUUUUGGUUAAUUUACUUUAAAAUAAAACAACAUAAACAUACUGAAAAAUUAAUUUUUUUACAUUAGUUUUCUAUGAAUUAUUAUUAAUUUUAUGAUAUUUUUUCUUAAUAAUUGAAUUCUCGAAAUCUUUAUAUUUGAUUAAACUAAAUAAGAUAAUACUAUAUUUAAAAAUUAAUUUUAAAUAUAGUGGCGAAAUCUGUAAAUAAAAGAAAAUACAAAAAAUAUUUAAUUUAUUAUAAAUACAGUGGUUAAAUAUGUAAAUAAAAUGAAAUACUUAAUAUGUUAUCAAUAUUUUCAAAUAAUCCUCGUUUAUGAUGUUAUCCAUGUUUCCAAACAGUACCAAAAAAAUACUUCAAUUCUAAUAAUAUAGAUUAUUUUGUGUGCGCUAUACAACGUGUAAAUCUCAAAAGACUCGAAAUUAGAAAACCAUAUCCCUAAACACAUCUAACUCGGAUAUAGAUCCUACAAUAGUAAUCGUGAUCACAAAUCGAAAGUGAUAAAUCCAUGUGACAUCAAAAUACUAGCAAAUUUAAACCAACAAAAAGAAAUUGCAUAAAUGAAAUAAAAUGUAACUAACGAUGUUUGUUUCAUAGUUUUAUAAUCCAAAGUCGAGUAGCAAUGAAUAAAUUAAUACAUAUAUUAUUUAAUUUAAAUUUCUAGCAUAUUUUUCGAUCUAAAUGAUGCUAUUUCAAUUCUCCUUAACUUGAAUCUCAGUAUAUAUGGAUCAUUUUGCUCGAAUCGGAUUCUGGUAUGAUGUUGAAUUUAUAAACUUUCAACUUAAACAUUAACCAGUAUAGAUAAAUUGGUCAGUAUUGAUAAAGAUGUCUCAUGAAAUUUAUUUGAAACUUCUAACGCGCUACACGUAUGGAAUAUGAGCAUGCGUAGUAACUAUUUGGGCCAUAUAUAUUUACAGCAAUAUACUUUAAACUUGCACGUGUUGUGCUCACGUACAAUACGUUGCAUGCAGCAUUUCGGUGCCCAAUUCUCAAGUUUCACCGAAAACAAAAAGGCAUAAAUCAUGUAGCCCCUUAGGCACCGACGUUUUUGACUUAGUACGAUUAUUCUUCUUCCUCUUAAACAGUAAAUAAGAUUGCACAUGAAUGAAAACCAGUGUCGUGCGAAGAGUUGUAGGGGCCUAAGGCAAGUUUUAAAAAUAAAUUUAUUUACAACCGUAAUGAAAACAAUUUUCUAAUAUGAUAUAUUAUUUUCACCAAAUACACAAGUCUAAUACUGUAAAAAAAUAAGUUUAUAACGUAAAUAUGUUAUAUUAUGUCAUAUUGAAAAAAAUACAUGAAUUCAAAAAGUGAGUUAAUUAAUUUUUGCAGAAAUGUUUUUUUUUUAAAUAAGUCUACACCACUAUAGUAGAAAUUAUUUUAAAUUUUGGGGCCCUAAAAACAGUCAUAUUAAUCGGGGGCCUGAGGCGAAUACCUUUUUCAAUACACUGUAGGCACGCCUCUGAUGAAAACUACAGAAAACUUUUCAUUUUGCCGUGUUCCUAUCGGCUUACAUAUAGAGAACAAUUAACACAUCACCUGACCGAAAGAAACACUAGUUAAGAAAAUAUAGUACUAAAGAUAAAAUUACUGAUAUUAGCAAUUUAGCAUAGCUAAAUGAAGAAUAAUUCUUACAGAAAGAAUUGUAAACCUUAAUUUUCUCAAAAAAAAAAAAGAACUAGGAUAAUAAAUUAUGGUUUAGUAUAGCUUAUAAGGUUUUAAAUAUAAUGUGUAUAUCAUAUAAUUCUUUCAGAGAAAAAUCAUUUUUUCUACGGUAGGAAUGUAGAUAAGAAAAAUUAAACGACUCCGUUAGUGGUGUCUAUUGAAUGAGACUCGAUAUGUCCAUAAUAUAUGUAUGUAAAUUAGAAAAUGUAUCACAUUUUUUUUAGAUCCAAUUUAUCUAGCACCAAUAUAUGUAUUUUAAAAGGUUACAUUCUCAUGUUUUAUAUUUUAUAAAGCCAACAAAACAACAAAUUUAUCAUCCUAAAAUAAUGUUUUGCUAUUUUCGCCAGUAAAACUAAAGCAGUUUACUAUCCUCAGUUAAAAUGUAAUGAAUAAGUUUUUCUUCUUCUUCUUUUGGCAAAUAUGGUAACUUUUUAAUCUUUUGACACGCUAUGUAGUUUCUUAUUAUCAAAAGCACAUACUACAUUUAAAAAUAUUCAAUUUCUAUAAAACAUUAUAGAUAAAAUUAUACCUCAUAAAAGUCUAGUGAGUUGUACAAGUAAAAGCACCUAGUUUUACCAAAAUAAGACUAGAAAUAGUAUUAUGGGGGAGGGGAAGAUCAAAGUGGUGGCCUUGAAAAGCAAAGCAACCGACACGGAGUCACAGACCCCAUCCUACCCAUGUGUUGAACUGCAUUCAAUUUUGUUAUGUAUCAGUCAGAUUUUUCACAUAGUGACGAACCGUAUACAUACAUUCUACUAGGUGUGGGAUGCAAGGACAAACCGACAUCUUCUCGGGUAUAUAUAUAUAUCCAUACGGAGAAAUUAUAUGAAAAAGAAACAAAAUAUUUUGGGAAAACGUUUUAAAAUAUUUUGAUCUGGAGAUAUCUUAAAAGCAAAAUUAUAUAUCUCAAAAAUAAGCUCCAGAUGCGUGUUUAAUUAAUUUAAAAAUCGCUCCAGAUGUGUGUUUAAUUAAUUUAAAAAUCAUGUUGCUUUUAUGCUGAUUUUUAAGAUUUAGAACAUCGGAUAUAUUUGGAUGUUCGCUUGCCAAAAUUUAGUGGAUAUAUUUUGUCCGUCCAUUUUCUGGAUUACGGGUGGAUACUUUACCGCAUAUCCGAAGCCGCAUCCGAAUCUGAUCCGAAAAAUCCAAACCGAAAUAACAAAAUAUCCGAAUGGGUAUUGAAUUAGGAAAAAUUAAAUAUCCAUUCGGAAACGGAUAAUAUCCGAACCUGAAUGGAUAUCCGAAGAUAACCGAACAUAUGUAUUUAAUCUUAUAUUUCUAGUUUACAUCUCUUAUUUUAUAUAAAAUAUUUAUAUUGAUACUACACAUACUUUAAGUUCAUAUGAUAUACAUAUAAUUAUGGAAAAAAUGAUUUGUUACUCAGUUAAAAUGUAUAUCAAACUUUUUAUUUCAAAAACUAACAAAAUGUUCCAUCCAAAAUUUUAAAACAAUAACCAAAUUAAUAUCUUUUUAGUUUCAAAAUGUUAUGUCCAAAUCUAUUAACCAUUCAAUCUAUUAAAAAUAAAAAAAAAUAGUUAAAUGAAAAUUAUAUUUUUAAAUACAAAAAAUUUGAGAAAUGAAAUAUUUAAUAAAUACAUCGCCUUUUUUGAUCAAACUAGUAAUAUUACUCAAACAUAUGUUAUGUUAUGGACAUAACAUUCACUACUCACUUAAAAAAAUAUAUAUCAAACUAGAUAUAUUGAAUGGUUAAUAAAUUUGGACAUAACAUUUGUUAAUUAUAUAUCUCCUUUUUUAAUCAAACUAGUAAUAUUACUAAUAUAUCUCUAAUCACAUUUGCUGGGUCUAAAUAAAAUCAAUGUACGUCAUGAUUAUAAAUAUACUAAAGAUAUUGUAGAGUUGUUUUCUAAAAUAAAAUAGAUUAUGAUAUAGUUGUAAUGUCAAAUAACUAUUUGCAUAUCCACAUCUACAUUUCUUUUUUGGUCGAAGCGUAUCCACAUCUACAUUUCCUCUCUCUCUCUUUUUCUUAGCACAUCUAUAAAAGUACGUCUUAUUAAGAAUAUAUAAUGAAAAUGUAGAAGGAAGAGACGUUUCAGAAAAAGAUAAAAACGAAAUUUGAUUAAAAUGUCAAACGAGAGUUCCUACAUAACUAGGGACCUCAACAUUAAAUGAAAUCAACAACCAACAAACUACUCCCAUUCCUCUAAACCGCAUUCACAUUCAUAACAUAAAUUUUCCUUGUCUAUAUAAACACUCACUCCCCCAACUCUCUCUAUCAUUCAUCACUACACACUUCUCAUUUUGCAAACAAUCAAAAUCCCCUAAAACUAAGAAAAAUGGCUGGUCUAAUGAAAUUGGCAUGCUUGGUCUUGGCCUGCAUGAUUGUGGCCGGUCCAAUCACAACGAACGCGGCUCUAAGCUGUGGAACCGUUAGCGGUAACUUGGCAGCAUGCAUUGGCUACUUAACCCAAAAUGGGCCCCUUCCCAGAGGGUGCUGCACCGGCGUUACUAAUCUAAACAACAUGGCCCGUACAACCCCGGACCGUCAGCAAGCUUGCCGUUGUCUUGUAGGAGCCGCUAACUCCUUCCCUACUCUCAACGCUGCCCGAGCUGCUGGACUUCCUAAGGCAUGUGGAGUCAAUAUUCCUUACAAAAUCAGCAAAAGCACCAACUGCAACAGGUAUGUCGUAAUCUCUCUCUGAUAUAUAUGAAAAUUAAAGGUUAUUUUAGAACAAGAAGUAUAUAACAAACAUUAUUAUGAUGAUUUACAUUUUAAGAUUAUUUUAUUGUUAAAUAAAAAGUAUAAGUUUUUUAAUAACUGUUUACUUCCCGGUUUAACCAUGUUCUAAUGGAAGUUUUGAGUUUUAUACCGAUGAAUAUAAAUUAAAAGUUUCUUUUGUUUGAAUGCAUAUUAUAGUACAAUAUAACAAUGUAAUGUUUAUUUGUAUGUGGUUGCAGCGUUAGAUGAGCGGCGGUCGGAUGAAGAAACUCAAGCGGACGUACGAAUCUAAUAUAAUGUAUGAGAGAGUACUAAAUAAGAUGUUGUUUUUCUAGUGUUUUAAAAUUUCAUGUUUCUCUUCUGUUGUGUCGUUCCUUUACUUUGGUUGUAUGUACUAUGUUCGUAAUCAACGUCCGCUAUAUGAAGUUCAUAUCCAAGGUUUACGUUAUUCUAUAUUCUUAAUUACUAAAACAAAGUUUAGUUAGUUUCACUGAUAUGAAAAAUUAAUAAUUAAACAUUAAAGAAAUAAAAUAAUCACUAAUAUGCAAUGCAGUUGAGAAGGAACGGAACAUUUUAAUUUAAAGAAAAUGAAGUAACGGGACAUUCUUAAAGUAUCCUGUUUAUACUUGAGAAUUAAUAUAGUUGAGAGAGAAUGAUGGACUGCUUUAAGGAACCAUGGCAUCCCCUGAAUUUAGGGCCCUACUUUUUUUUGUCGUCAAGUAGGGUUGUAUUAAAUAUGUGGUGUCUUUUUAAAAAAAAGAAUUGAGCUAGAUUUUAGACUCAUGACAUAAGAUGGCGAUUUGGAUUUUGGACAACCAAAUAGAAUGCACACUUAGAAUAAGAUUUCUAUUGAAUUUUUUUGUCAUCUUUUCAUCCUUGAUCGCUAAUUUUUUUUCAAAUAUACCGUCUUUUGAAAUGUUUCUAGAGAAAGAGAAAAUGUCAAAAUUCUACCAAAAGUCUAGACACGCAUCUGAUUGCCUUCUUAGUGUUAACGGCUAAUUACAGUUUUUUUUUUUCUGGUAAUGGUACUUAAAUAAGGAUAAAGGGAAUUUCAAUAUUUCAAGGACUCUCAAUUUUACAACAGAAAAUAGCAAACUUUGACAAAAACGAGAUAGAUUAGCAAAAUACUAUGUGUUUAGCAUAUUUUGCAAAAUAUUUCUUUGAUCCACCACAAAAAGGUCUUACAAGGUUAAUUAACAUCUACAGUUUGCAAAGAAGGUUAGACCUAUUUUUCGACAAUGAAUAGAGGUUGAAACUCUUAUGUGUGUUUUCUUGUUAUAUUAAGAGUACAUAAGUUUUUUUUUUGUUGGUCAAAAUGUUAAAAGAGUACAUCUGUGUUCUCAAGUGCAAUUCUAUAGUCUUAUAGGAGUGAAACAAAAACGAGAUAGAUAAGCAAAAUAUGUGUUUCGCAUAGUUUGCAAAAUAUGUGUUUCGCAUAGUUUGCAAAAUAUUUCUUUGAUCCACCACGAAAAGGAGGCGAAAAUAAGUGUAUUCGUAGAGGGUUAAUUUACCCUACAGAGUUAUAUAAAUUAGUUUAAUUUUUAUUAAAUACUUAAACUUGACUCCAUCAAAACAUAAAUAUGACCUCUAUCAAAUUUAAGUUCAAACGAAGUCCGACAAUAUCGUGAAAGUUCUUCAAUUUUCAACCAAUUUAUCAUGAUCCCAGCAUGUAAUUUGUAUGGCUCCGCAGAAAAUACAAUUGUUGGAAUUGGAACUGAGAGUUUACUAUACUUUUUUAUAUUAUUUUGUUUUCGUGUUGGGCCGAUCAUCUCAUUAACAAGCUUUCACGUGAGUAUUUUGCUGAAUCCGCCAAUCAUUAUAUUUUAAAUCUGCUCAAUCUUAUUAGCGGAUGAUUAGUUUGGCACGAGCUAUCGAUCUCAUAUGAUUCUUGAACACAUAAUGCUACAAUAUAUAAAAUAUAUACUAUUUAAUUAUUUUAUACAAAUAACUAUUUUUAUCCGAUAUAGUUUAAAAAGUCACAGAAAAGGAGUACAUGUACGUUGAUAAAAGGGAAAAAAUGUAUUUUUGGUUUCACUUUUCAGAAAAUAAAAUUAAAUAAAAUGUCAAUCAAAGCAGAUGAGAGGUAAAUAGGUGCUCUACAUUAAAUGUAACCAACGGCCAACUAACUAAUCCUUUCUUCUAAUCGCAUUCACAUUCUCAAAACAUAAACUUUCAUUCUCUAUAUAAACACUGACUCCCUCAACUCUCUUCACCACCCAAAUAUCUUACUUGUUUACAUCUUCUUUUGCAAACCAACAGAAACACUAAUAGAAAAAUGGCCGGUGUAAUGAAGUUGGUAUGCUUGGUCUUGGCCUGCAUGAUUGUGGCAGGUCCGAUCACAGCGAACGCAGCUCUGACCUGUGGCACCGUUAACAGCAACGUGGCACCGUGCAUUGGCUACAUAACCCAAGGUGGACCCCUUCCCGGAGCGUGCUGCACCGGUGUUAGUAAACUUAACAGCAUGGCCCGUACAACCCCGGACCGUCAGCAAGCUUGUCGUUGCCUUAAAACUGCUGCUAGCGCCUUAGGCCCUAGUCUCAACGCUGGCCGUGCAGCUGGAAUUCCCAAGGCAUGUGGAGUCAGUGUUCCUUUCCCAAUCAGCACCAACACCAACUGCAACAGGUACGUAUAUUAAUUUGAUGAACCUCUCACACUCGCUCUUGAACUCUUAUAUUAACGGUUUUAUGUUUUAAUAAUUUUUUAAUGUUAAGAAAAUAUUCCCGGUCUAACAAUGUUAUAAAGGAAAUUUUGAGUUCUUAAAUGAUUCAACAAGUGUACGUAAAAAGGUUUUUUUAGUAGAAAUUUGAGGUUCUCUUAUACUAUAUUAACGAUGUUAUGUUUGAUUGGGCGUGGUUGCAGCGUGAAAUGAGCGACAGUGUGAUGAAGCUUCAGGGGACGUUUCGAAUAUUAUAAUAUGGAUCAGAAUAUUAAAUAAGAUAUGUUCGAAUGCAUGUUUUAAAAAUGUUUUAUAAUUUCCUUCUUUUUUAUUUUAAUAUGGUGAUCCUAUAUUCCUAUGAACUGGUCGUUUGUACUAUGUUAUCGAACAACGUUAUAUGAAAUUCAGAUUUGAAGUUUAUAUUCUUCCGUGUUGUACCGCCUCUUCACGAAGCCUUAAUAUAUAAACAAAGAAAAAGUAAUGGGAUAUUCUCAAAUGUUAACUGUAAACUACAGUUUUAUUAUCAAUCAUUUGAAAAAAAACAAGAAGAUAAAACUAAGCUAUGGACGUAUACAUGUCAAAAAAUUCGUAUUUGAAGUGUUUUUGUAUUUGGAGACUUUUAUGUGGAGAUCCAUGGCAUGUUGAGGAAAGCAAAGAAGUAUCGUUCUGGUGUUUUAUCGGCCGAUCAAGUCCGCAGCAGGACAACGUACGUCGACAAAAUGUUCAUCGGUCAGAUAACCUAUGCGUGGAUUAGUAACUUUCUAUUUUCAAAGGCACUUACUACCUUCAAAAUAAGAAUUACCUUGUCUAAAAUCUUGAAAGUUCCCGAUAAGAUGUAGUGAUUUGUACUAGUAAAAGUAAAACAUACAUAUUUAAACAUACAUAAGAGUAGAAAUAUAUGUGGAGUGACGAAGUGACGGCCAUGUAAACCAAAGCUAAUUAAUUGCAUGGUAGGCAAUCGACAGUGAUACAAUUCUACCAAUUUGUCCUGCCAUUUAAUUUAUCAUGCAUCAGUCUUCUCUUUCACAUAAUGACGAACCUUUUACAUACACUCCAUGGUUUGGGAGGACAGACAAACCAACAUCUUCUCGUGUGUAUCCGUCCCGAGAAAAAACAUAAAUAUUUAUUAUUGAGUAUUUAUUAUUAAUUUUUUAAUUUAUUUGUUUUUUUUAAUUUAUUUAGAGAUCACAUAAAAGAUUUACUACAAUACUCAAAAAAAUCUCCAAUAUUUAGGUUGAAUUAACAGAAAAAAUCACGUUUGAUAAAUUUCAAAGUUUUUCAUUUAAAAUAAAACUUCUUUGUAAAAAUUGCCAUGCAACCUAAAUGAAGAGCAUAUUAUUGAAAGCAUGAGAAUGCAACAUAUGAAACCUUAAUGAUAAUUACGUACCCGUGUCAAAGAAAAUUACAGGCAAUGAGGUGUUUGGUGUAUCUGCAUUUCUCAGUCACCAUCACAGAGAAUUUUGUUAAUUACUCCCUCUUCGUAAUUAAUUACUCCCUCUUCGUAAUAAGCUUCACUUUAUGCUUUUGCAAGCUGUAAUUAAUUACUCCCUCUUCGUAAUAAGCUUUAUUUUAACCUUUUUUUUUCUUGUUAUAAAAAAAAUAUCACUUUACAAUUCAAUGCAAAUCAUAUAUACUUUCAGCUGAAAAUUAAUUAAAAAUUGCAUUAAUUUUGUAAAUAAUUUUAUUUAUUUCAAAUACUAUUAGUAAUAGAAAUAUAAUUAAUAACAACUUACAUUUAUGUCACUUUUUAAUUUAUGUGAAAAAUGUACGAUACUUAUUUAUAAACGGAGGGAGUAUUAUGAUUGGUAGAUAGAUGGUAGUCUAAUGAUAUGUUUAAUUUAGUUUUGUAUACUUAUUAAAUAUGUAAAAAUUACCGGAACGAUACCAUGAAUUCGUAAAUAUAGUUAUCAUUUAUCAAAAUAUCUAAAAUUGAUUCUUCUACUUUACCAAAAAGAUACUGACACUCUCACUCUUCUUCUGCCAAAAAGAAACUGAAAUGUUGUCGAGGUUCCAGUUGGUUUAAAUUUUAAAGUGAGAAAGGCUCUACAUUGUUUAGAGAGUCUACUACUUCUGUAAAAGUUGUCCAAGCCCAUCGAUAUACUCAGGUAUUUUCCAAAAACCACGACGUCGUCGUUUAAUUCAUCUUCUUUGCUUCCUAGUUGAACUAUACACAGCUCUCAUUGUUGAGGUGGGGAAAGAGAAGAGUGAUCUAGAUGGUGGUGAUGAUACAUAUCAGGAAGCAUGGAAGCAAUCUCGUAUUUUAAAGAGCAGGUGUCAAAGGUGCAGAGCUUGUCAUCGGAGCAAUACACACACUGUUAACUCCCAAAAAGCAAUGACAAUCUUGAAAGAUACUUCUGAACAACUUAGGAUUCAAAGAAACAAAUCAUAAGUGAGAGCUGAUAUCCCCCAAAUAGUUCCUGCUUCAUUACAACCACAAAUGUUACUUUUUUCUCUAAAGCUAAUCCUACACAAACAAAUGAUGAGUAGAUUCAAUCAGACCAAUUUUGUGCCAAAAAGAACCAGAUUAAUAUUUGAUAGUACAAACUGGAGUGGGCCGAUCAAUAUAAGCACUAUCAAUAUAAUACACUAUAUUGACUGAUCAAUAUAAGCACUAUCUUGACUGGCAAAUGCUUAGCAAAUCAAAUACACAAUGAACAUAUUGGUAACAAAGCAAUAUAUAACUUAAACUGCUAGUAUAUAUACUCCUCUUCCUUUGGAAAGCCGUUGCUUGCUUUAAUUUUUGCUAAGCAUUUGCAACUUGCAAGUCAAGAUAAUGCUUAUAUUGAUCGACCCCGUUGCACCGACCAAAACAGUUCUGCUAACUUCUAUCAGCUCAGCGUUAUGGGCCUUUCGUGAACACAAACUCUAUCAGCAGAAACAUAAAACACACAUAAAUAUAUUUAAGCGUUUUAUACAAAGAAUGUAUCACUCACGUAAAGAAUUUGGAGAUUCUCUUUAUCUUGUUGCUUAACGAAAAGCUUUAUGUUGAAUUUUUUUAUGAAAUCAACUUUCUUGUUUCGGUUAAGCAUGUGAUUGAAGGACGUGGGAACCGUCCCAUCUUUGACUGAUAGAAUUUUCAAGGGAACAUGUCUUGUAGCUCUCGUGAAAACAUUAUCCGAAGGUAUUUAGGGUUUCCAAAGGCCCAUCUCAGCUUUGAUUGGUAAUAAACAAUAGCCUAGUAAUAUAUUAUGGCCUCGAUAUAAAGCUUAAUGAUUAAUGAAUAAAUCCUCCUGUACAUUAAAAGAGAAGUGACUUCAGUGGUUUCUACUGACGUGGUAAUCACAUAGAGCUUCUCAGAAAAAUUCUUAUAAUUCUAUUGGUUGAUUUUUUCGAAUUUUCUUCUUCUUUUUUAUUCAAUCGCGCAUCAGAUAAGUUUGAAACCGAUAAAGACGGUCCGAACAGAUGAGUUUGCUUCUCGACACUCUGAAGACUCAAUCAGAUCAAUGGCAGCAAGGAGCGACGAGUAGAUGAGUUUCCUUCUCUCCACCAUCGAUCAGAUCGAUGAGGUGAAGUUUGUCGAUACUCUGUUAAUAUACAGAGUUUUUGGUUUCUCUGAUUGGGUUCGAUAGCGAUUAUCGCCAGCUGAGAUUGAAUUGAAAUUUACUCUCGAACCGAUUUAAUUUGUAAGAUAGAAACUACGAUCUGCUUAUUAAUAUUUUGAUACUUUGUAUCUAAUUGAGUGAUUAACCUGCAGAGAUCAAAAGGUUGAAGAAGCUACAUACAUAAUCGUUAAACAACUUCGUUAACCAGGUAUUAUUAACUUUUGAAGUAAAAUGAAAUAGCCAAUAUGCAUAAGCCACGUAUGGGGUGUUUACCAAUCCUACAUUCUCUUAUUUAGACAGCGGUUGUGUCAAAUUAUAUCAUUUUUGAUUUAUUUUUUUCCUUUUUCCUCUUUAGAACCUCAACUAAAAUCCACCGUUGGAAGUGGUCUUAGCUCUAAACAAAUAUUAUAAAAUAAUCAAGACUAGUUCUACUAAUCACCAACCAAGUAAAGGAGGAGUCAACGAGGGAUCAUUUGAUUAUACAAUAUUAUAUGCCUAAGCUAGGUUCAUGUGGUUAGCUCUAAGCUAUUAUAAAAUAACACAAUCCAAAUCAACAACGUGAUCAUGGCUAAAUCUAAUCAUUAAAAGUGACUUAUAUCAAUGUCAAUAGUAACAUCAACAGAGAGAUUAGCUGCCAUCAAGGCUCUGGAAGCAAUGAAAUCAGAGACAAACCUCUCCAUGAACCUGAAGAUAGAAGAGAACGAUUGAAUCAAAUAAGAUGAGACUGAGAUUGGAUCAAAUAAGAUGAGACUGAAACAGAAAACAGAUCAUCAGGAUUCAGAAUCAGAAUAAUCACCCUUGGGGAAGCUCCUCGAGUUAUCGCUCGCAAACUCAACGAUGUCUCCAGCCAUGUAUCUCUUCCACAGAUCGUUGAUCUUAGUAUCAAGAGUCUGUUUGUUCACCAUCGUUUCUUUUCUUCUGGUUCUUAGAGAAAGAGUGAGAGAGCAGGAGAAUAGAACGUUGGAUCAGAUUCCAAUCUGGCUUCUUCAACCAUUAGAAACUUCUCUUUAGUCUUCAGAAGCUCCUCUUCAGACAUAAAGAGCUGUGGGCAACAAGAGUUCAAGUACUGAACGUAGCUGAACUAGUCACAAAUUCAUAAUAACAUACAUAAUAACAUCUAGCGAUCGAUUAGAUAUACCAAAUCGUGUGAAUCAGAGUGACUUACAUUAGCGAUGUCAGCAGCAACAGGGAGGUUAGCAUUCAUCAACGCUCUUAAACCAAGAAAAUCAUCCACGAAGAUUCCGUGAACCUGCAAAAUAAGAGAUAGAGAGAAUCUGUAUCAAAUAAGAUGAAAGACUGAAACAGGAAACAAGAGAAUCAUCAGGACUUAGAAUAAUCACCCUAGACAAAGCAUUGACUGAUAAGUACGAUCUGAAUGUAUCUCACAUGUGGACAAUCUUUGUAAUUUAUUUUCGACAUAAAUGUUGACAUUAGACAAUGGUAAAGUGCAGCUAGAAGGGAACAUAAAAGUUUAUAGCAUAUCCAUUGAUAAUUUGGAAUUGCUUUGUAAAGAGUUGUUUUAUACAUUUGCAGUAUAUAGGUAAAACAUUAAACUUCUUGUUUUUGUUUUGUUUUGUUUUCUUUGUACUCAACAUCAAACUUUCAUAACCGACAAAUAGCAGGCUUAUCACCAGCCUCAACAACGACUCCUUUUGCUGAACACAAAAGUUACAUCAAUAAUUGACUGAACUUAUGUACUAUCAAGGCGAAGAAAAAAAAACUGACAGCAAAACUUGGCUCGUUCUUGUGUAACAUAUAAGAAAAACACAUGCAUAAAUUACACAAUAACAGAAAAGAACUAAUAUUACUUACAAAGCUUAAAAAAAAGAAAAUUCAAUAAGAUCUAAACAUUUGGUCGAGAAUGAUGGUAAAUGCCAUGGCCACAUGAGGCUCCAUCUCCGAUUCAACUAUUAGUUUAAAAACAUCUUUUCCAAAGGCAACUCCUCCGACCAUUGCCUCUUUCCUCUUGAUCUCAGCUGCUUUCUUCUUGUUCCUCCUCUCGUCCAAUAUUUUGCAGCUUCUUUGGCCGAAUGAUCCUUCUAUCUCGUAUAGUAAUGUCUUCUUGGUGCUAACCCACGCCAAGCUCCUCCGGUUUGUCAUUAUACUAACGUUUUUUCUCGCUGUGAAUAUUGGGUCUCUUUGUGUUUCUCCAUCGUAUACCAUCCAGCAAUCUCCCAGGCUCAGUUUCUAAUCAAAUAGGUUAAAAAAAGGAAAAUUCAAGAGUUAGUUCCAUAAUAACAUGGUUAUAUAAAACAAACAUUCAUGUAAAGAUUCAUUAUGUGAAUCUGUCAUGUACUUAUAAUGGUUGACCAUUGUGGAUGUUUUAAAUAACAAGGUUAUUUGGCUCAAUACUUAAUACUUUUUUUAACGCUGAUUUAUUUUGCUAUUGCAAAUUGUGAGAAUUAUUACAUAGACAAGUUUAACAACUGACAAUUAUUUGGUUCAAGACUUUGGUUAUCAAAAAGAAUAUAGAAACAAAGAGAGAACAUGUACCUUGCGCCGGAUAGAGAGUAGGGGUAAGCCAUAAGCGUCCAUAAGGACGAUGUUGUCUUUAGAAGAGUUCAUGUAGUUGUCAACCCUAAAGACAAGAUCUCCAUUAGAGUUGUAAACUGUGAAUCCAUCACAGUUGAAGAGAAGGGACUUCUUCCACACCGUCAAAACUGCGGCUGCUUUACUAUCACACAAGCUCUCCUCGCAAGUGUUUGGGAGCUUUGGGUGAACUUUUGUCAUCUCUUUUCUUUGUUUCUGUCUUGUUUUCGUUUGGUGAGGUUUGAUGAUUGUUGUUGGAGUAGAUGAGCUGAUCUUUGUUUGUUGGACAAAUGAGAAGAGGUCGUUGCGUGUUUAUAAAUACUAUUGUAGAAAGUGAGAAAGAAUGUGAUGCUUAAAUGAAAAGAAUGGUGUCAUCUUCUUGUUGUCCACUAGAGAGAUAUCGUUGUCAGUCUAUUACUAUAAGAUAUCUACUAGUCGCAAAUUUAGGUACUUGUUAAAAAUAUAUAUAUAUAAAUUAAUUGAUUCCUUUCAAUAAACAAAUAUUAUUAAUUGUUUAUCAAUACUUAAAAAAUUAACGUAUCAUUUAAUCUCACCUAAACUCCAGCAAAAUAUCAUUUAGCAACCUUGUAUUUUGUCCCUGCAAAAUAACGUAUGGUUUCACACGUAUUAUAUGCUGCUGAUAUUUAAUCUAACGCUCUAGUUAUAUAUAAAAGAAAAUAAUUCAUAAAUAACUCUAGUUUCUAAUUCAUUUGGCCGAUAUUUUAGAGAACUUUACAAAAUGAACCGAUUAAUAAAUAUUGUUGGUAACUGCAUGGCGUUUUUAAGUAUUGAUAAACUAAGUAAUUUGUUCAAGGCAAAUCUAAAAAUACGUUUAAAAUAUGUUCUUAUCAUCAUUUAUUAACGAUUAUUUCAUGCAUCUUAUUUUCUCUUCUAUAUACGUUUUUAUAAUUUAUAGAAAAAUAUAAUUUACACGUCAAACAUUUGUCAAAUCUUUCUCUCUAUAUUUGUGUGUACAUUUUUGUUAUGAUCACUGAUAGAGAAUAUUAUUGUCUCAAAAGAAAGGAAAAGAAUCUAUACCAUGAAAAACCUACGGGCCAUAAUCCAUCGCCAUUUCGAGUGCAUCUUUUUACAAUGAAAAGACGAGUUUCUAUAUGAAAUAUACUUCCAACUUUUUGCAUUAAUAAGUAUUUCUGCUGGAUUAACGCAUUAUUCUCGAAAAAUUGAACCCAUAGGCCAAAGUAAUAUAUGAUAUAUCUUCUCUAUGUGGAUCAACUUGUAGCAUGUUCCAAAUCCCAAACCUGGUUAUUGGCUCGAUAAGACCAAUUAUGUUGCAAAUAUCAGAUAAUAUAUAUUUAUUAACAUCAAGCUUUGAAUAAUUACCAGAGACAUUUUGAGCCAAGUGAAAAACAUAAUCUAGUGGGAGGAUAAGAACGGGUGGAAAGCAAAGUUCAAAUAUAUAUAAAUAAACAAAAGGCAAUUUCAAAGUUUCAAACAAGGACAUGACAUAGAAACGAGUUAAGAAAUUGAGUUUUGAACCAAUCCUUGGUUUUAAUAUGAUGUAUGAUGAAUAAUCAAAGCUUAAGAAUAAAAUUAUGUGGCUGAGAAGCGAUUAGCGGUGGGGAAGAGAGAAGACAAAGCCAUCCCAACAAAAUUCCACCAAUUAUUUUACUUAAAAAGUUUAAUAUAAUAUUUUCCUUGUGAUAUUUUUCCCACGUCCAUUGUUAUAACAAAAUGUCCCACUUACGUUGACAUCUCUCUUACAUUUUUGUAUUCCUUUCGUUAUCUAUCGUUUGUUUAUAAACAAAAAGAUUGCGGUUUAUGCGUCAUAUGCACACAAAAAGUGAUUACGACCUUUGAGAGGUAAGACACGUCCCACUUUUCACCAAGUGAUUGAUAACUACGCUCUGAACUUGGAACAAUAUAUGUUUCUCUUUGCUUUCACACUAUGAAUACAACCUAAGUUGUCUCUCCUACUAUUACCAAAUAUUCUGAUUCCUCACCUUGGUAGCUGUACCUUAUUGUGUGUUUUGUAUUAUAUGAUCAUUUUGCAUCCUACUAUCUAGUAAAACUCAAAUCCAUUAUAGAGUCAAUCUAUUUCAAAAGAAAAUAUAGAAUACUACAUUUGAUAUGCUAUAAGUGAAUGUAGGUGUUUGAGCAAAUCUAUGUAACCUGGUAGUAGAUAUCAUGGGAAAUCGGCUAAUUCCUACAUCAACACAGUCCAGCGGUCCCGAUCAGUACAUAAACACAUAAGCUGUGCAAAUACAUACAUGAACACGUAGUUAAUUCAAAUAUCUUACACGAACUAACAAAAUUCGGUUUUUGCAUACAUUAACCAAUUAUCCGUUAGUCAAACGUAACGGAAUCUGAGCUGUCCGUUAUAUACCAUUACGUGGCUUUUUACGUUUUUAAAUAAUGAAUAAAUUAAUAAAAAUAAAAUAAAAGAUGGUUACAAGGGGGAGUCGAACCCUGGUUUGAGAUAUACCAAUCACAAGAAGAAACCAUUGUGCCAGACCCAACCUAUUGUUUAUAGUCCCAGUUGUUUCGUAUUUAUACAAAUAUUUCAUUCACAUAUUUCUUUUUUUUUUCUUUCCAUGUUUGACUUAUCAUCCAAAUUGUUCCAAAACAAAUUCAAAUACUUUUUUGUUCUCUUUCUCCUUUUCUUGUGGAAAAAAUAAUUUUUGUAUAUUCAAAAAAAUAAAAUAAAAUAAUAUAUAUUAUUAAAAAGGAUUACGUACGUUGGAAUUGUCUUCUACCUUUAUUAUCUCUUUGUGAAUUUCUAUUUUUAAAAGAUAAUAUUUACUUUUAAUAAUCAACCCGAUAAACAAAAUUUCAAAUGUCCAUUACAAGCUUAAAUUGAACAAAACAAAACUAAUUCAAAUAUUGCACGUCUAAUUUCGUUCAACUACCACACCGGCGCGUUCCGCUAAACCGAUCUAUAAUCCUUAGUAAAAUCAAUUCCCUUUUUGAACUAGUUCAUUCUCUUGUUGAAAUAUUUAAUAUGCUUUUGUUUAAAUUUUGAGUAAAUUUUUUUUCAGUUUCCAGUAAUUGUAAGAGAACGUUAGAAACAUAAGGGUUUGCAAAUAAACUCAAAUUCAAACAAGAGGAAAUUAAAAAAUUUCAGCAAGAGAACGAUCUUUCGAUCUCUUUCUCACAAAAAUAUAGUAAAGCUAGAAAUAACUUCAAUGUAUAUAUUAUUAUUUUAUUUUUUUGAAUAUAUAAAAAGGUUAUUUCUUCCACAAAAAAAACAAAAAAAUAUUUGAAUAUUUUUUCAUUUUGUUUGGAUGAUAAGUCUAUUUUCUGAACAAUUUGGAUGAUAAGGUCUACCACAAAAAAUAUAUAUAUAUAUAUGUGAAUGAAAUAUCCAUUAGGUAUAAAUGGGAAAUCAUUGGGAGUACAAAUAAUAAGUCUGCCUUGGCACAGUGUUUUAGCAUGUGUUGGAUAUUGCUUAGACCCAGGUUCGAUUCCCCCCUCUAACCAUCUUUUAAUUUUUUUAUUAAUUUAUUCAUUAUUUAAAAAUGUAAAAAGCCACGUAAGCAAUAUAUAACGGACAAUUCAGAUUCCGUUACGUUUGACUAACAGAUAAUUGGUCAAUGUAUGCAAAAACCGAAUUUUGUUAGUUCGUGUAUGAGAUUUGAAUUAACUACGUGUUUAUGUAUGUAUUUGCACAGCUUAUGUGUUUAUGUACUGAUCGUGACCGCUGGACUGUGUUGAUGUAUGAAUUAACCGUUUUCCCGUAGAUAUCAUUCUUAUCGUCUUCUACAUUGGUAAUAAUGAAAAAAACUUGCACAAUGACAAAUGGAAAAUAACGUGAGUAAAAGAAUGAUGGGACACCUCUCUUUACCAAAAAUCAUAUACAACAUCCAAGUUUCUUUUCGAAAUCAUAAUAUCAAAGCUGAUUUUGCAAUCAUCUUCAUCACUGUCUCUUAAAAAAUCAAUUUGCUAAUCAUUUUUUAACCCACUUCUGCUAGCUUCUUCCCCUUUCAGCAUUUCUUCUGCAAUGCAUUCGGGUUUAUUUACCCCCACAAAAAAAUGAGAUGCCACUCUAAAUCUUUUUUUCUUUGCGCGUGUGACUUGCUUCUACAGCAUUGUCCCCGUGUAAUUUCUUCUACUUACUCUCUUUCUCAUCAAGGAUUCACGUUACAGUCACUCAAGAAUCCGUCUUCCCUGUUCAGAUGCUUUCUCCAAUAGCUUUUGUACUGUGGGAUUCCCAUCUCUAGCCACGGCUUCAUGUUCCCAUUGUAGUGCAACGUCGCUGCGUUCUUUAUCGUUUGGGGUUUGAUAUAGUAGUCAUAACCAAGCCCUGAUAGAGCCCAUUUGUCUUCAAGAGCAUAUACUUUGUCUUGAAACGUAAGCAAGCUUGCUUUCAAUGCAAUUGCUUCUCUCGGCUCAGCUCCACCACUCAUCUGCCACACACCAAAACAAGAAAUAAGCAUAACGAAACACCCAAUUUCUCUUUCAGGUUUUUUCAGAAAACUGACCUGUUUGUAAAAUUUAUGGUAUGUUUCUGAGACUCCCAGCUCCCUCCAUCUAGCAAGAUCAAUGACAUUCAAUCCAGACAUCCAGAGACAAGCAUUAGCAUCAAAACUUCCUCUCUUGAGACUCUUUAGCUGACCUAAUCUCACAGAGCACGACUUCACUGCGCCGUUCACUUUUCCUUCCAUAUCAAGCUCCCAAAGAGGAGACAAGUCUCGCUGGACCACAACGUCAUGAUCCAGAACCACAACCUUUUCCAACUUAUGAAAUAUUUUCGGAAGAAGAUAGUGAGAUCGAGAGAAAAUUGAUAAGUAGUCUGCUCUAUUGUCACCACUUGGGAAGGAGACACGGAACUCUGUAGGCAAAGACAGCUUCAUAUCAGACUGAUCAAGCUCCAUUUUCUCAAUGUUCAAGACUUGAAUAGCUGCUUGUUUGCAGGGAUUCCUGAUGAACCAUUGUUUCAUCGCAAAGUAGUUCUGCUCGUCGGUCAGUACAUGGAAAACAAAGUUUUUACUUUCCUGAAACAUCAACAAUCAACCAAGAAUCAGACAUAACAUAAGGGUCCUAUGAUUGCAUGAACAAGAACAAAAACUGGAUUUAACACAUACCCUUGCGUGUACAGCCGUUGAGUUGAUCACAACGGAAGAUGCAAGUAUAUUAUCGGAGAUGAUAACAAAGUGAAGCAACGAGGGAUCUGAAAACUUCUCACUAUCCUCAAUAUCAACUGAGCCUGACUUGAAAUGCUCCACAGUUAGCCUCAUUGACAAGCAAUGAAGACUCUUAGGCAUUGUCUGCACCGCAAGCUGGUAGAGGAACACACUCUGUUUCAUGUGGAAACUUGCUUCAUCCUCAGUCAAAUCCAGGAUCUGUCUCAGUUUCUUGUCAACAUUGUUACAGUCAACCGGAAAAGACUUUGCCUUUGAAAUCACACCUUCCAUCUUCUCAAACUUCUUAUCAACCCUUGUAGAAUAGUGGAAAGAUACACACAAUAAGUAAGAUUUAAGGAAAUUAGCAGAGGAUCUACACAUACCCCAAACUGGUAAAGGACUUACUGUGGUGGAAGGUCACCAUCAGCUGAACUUUCACUAAGAAUACGCUCAAACUCUUGGAUGUUCUGUUUCAUAUCCCGAGUCAGCUUGCUUUGAGAAGGCAUUUUAGCAAUACUUGGGUAGUACGCUCUAGCCACAAAUAGCAGGUCCUUCAUAUGCUUCACCUUGGAAUCUUUCAUCGGUUCCUUAUUUUCCUCCCUCCAGAGACAGUAACUCCCGUAUUUCACUUGACAAGUUCUCUGACUUUCAUCAACACUAACUACCGCCCGCUGAACACCUUUGUACGAGACUUCAGUUUUUGUUUUCUGUUCACAGAAUAAAAAACUUAAGACGAAUUGGUGAUAGUAACCAAGAAAAAAGAUGUAUACUAGAGAAACCACUUAAUACAUUUGCAGGGCUUGGGUUGGCAACAACAGCUGGGGACACUGGUACUCCUGCAGAUUAAUUGAGGGAUCAGAAUCAAAAAUAAAACACUUGGGGAGGAAUUUUUAGAAAAAGUGAACCUUUCUUCUUAGAAUCACUGAUGCUUGUCCUAUUCAUAUCUCUGGAACCACCGUUUAUGUCCCUUUUCUAGCGCAUGUGAAACAAGAGGAAAAUAAAAAAAACUUUAAUUAACCAUCUCAUGAAUACAUGAAGCAACCUAAUUCAUGAAUAUGUAUUUCACCUUUCCAGACACAUAACACAGUCAAAUAAAAUAAAAUUAAAUUCACUCAUUCAUCUAAACUAGUCACUUUUCAUUAUUUCUUACUAAUGUUAGCAUUCACAUGCUUUAUAGUAAGAUCAAACUAGACAAACCACUAUAAAGAACCAACCUUGGGAAGCACUGGGUUGAGUUUUUGAAGAACCUGAUCAACUCUCUCGGAUACAUCUCUCUGCAAGCAAGCUAAACGACUUUUGAAACCAAUCAAAACGACAGAGAGGGAGAGAGUUAAACAAUUUACCUGUGAAUGUUGAGUAGCAUUGAUUCUGCUAAAGCUCUCAUACUGAUUCCAAAAGAAAGUUAGUUAGAACUUAGAACCAAAAAAAAAUAAAAAAUCAAACAAUUAAGGAAACAAAAUGCUUACAGGAGUAGAUGGUUGGAGAGUGACGACGAGGCCUGAAGAUAAUAAACGUAGAGAUUAUCAGAUGAGAAUAGAUCUGAAACAGAGAUCGAAGAGAGAGAGAGAGUUACCAGGAGAGUGGAAGCUGUUGUGAAGGCCGAGCAAGAAAGCUAGAGGAACCAGCAUUGAUAGGAUCACAAGAACCAUUACUCCUAUCACCAGAACUUUCCACCGCCGUUUUCCUCCGCCGCCUCCUCCUCCUCCGCCUUUCAUUUUUUCCGAUUUAGAUUUCAAUCAAUCAAUGCCUUUUUCAAAUUACGAACCGCAUUGGAUCCCUAAAACGACGGCGUUUUAUCUCCUCUGAUACACACUCUCGUUCAAACACUCAAGUGCUGCCACUAUGCCCUGAUCGCAUUUGCGUGUUUGCUUGCUUGUUACUUGGAAGGAAGAAGGAAGAGAGAGAGCACACCCCAACACUUUCCUCGCACGUGUGGAACUGUCUCUGCCGUUUGAUUAUCCCAACCCACUUGCGAGAUCUAUCUCCUGAUCACGACACGUGUUAUUUUCACACGUGUCGUGAGUAUUAUUAUUAUUUAGUUCGUUUUUAAUAGUCUCGCCGGUAAAUCCUAAAACGCCGAGCAGGCCUAGCGAUAUUCAUCACCACCGUCAACGCCAUUGACAGCUUAUACACUUUGGUAAUCUCUCUUCCUCCUCCUCCUCCUCUGUACCAUGUAAAGAGAAUUGAUUGUGAAAGCAUAUGACUUUUUUGGUUUAAUCUACUUUGCGUUAUUUGUUUGUGUGGAUGUAAUGAAGGAGAUGAGCCAUCAAAAGAUUGAGACUUGAUGUUAUCACUCUCUCAUAUGCAUUGUUUAAGCUUUAUCUGUGUAAGAAUCUCUUGUCUUGUAUGGUCUGUCUGUUCUAAUGAGGUUUCUUUCAAUGCUGUUCUGUUUUCUUCAUGUGAUUCAGUGACUGCUACUUUUCAUUUUCGAACAUGUUACUGAUCGCGAGGAAAGCUUUGGGCCUUUAUGUUACUUGUUUGUUCUAAUUAUGAAAGAUUAAGCCUUUAUGUUAUCACUCUCAUGUGCAUUGCUUAAGCUUUAUCUGUCUAAGAUUCUCUUGUCUUGUCUGUUUGUUCUAAUUGGGUUUCAUUUGAUUCAGUGACUACUGCUACUUUUUGCGUUUCGAGCAUGUUAUUAAUCGCGAGGAAAGCUUUGGCCUUGGCGCAUAACAAGACUAUUCGUUUAACGACAAGGGAAGUGCACUGCUUAAGCUCCAUCUUACUCUCUCCUCCUCUUGUGUCUCUUGACUUGCCUGAAAAUUGGGUUCCUUACUCUCAUCCUCCAUCCCCUGUUGCCUUCGGUAACUCUCUCUCUCUCCCUCCCUCCUCUAGUGUAGUGCAUUGACUUCUGCAAUCUUAGUUGUACACCUUUUGUUCUCUGUUUACUACAGAGGGUGAACAGAAGACUGUGGUGAUUGAUGGAAAAUCUAUCGCAGAAGAGAUCAGAACGAAGAUUGUUAGUGAAGUGUGGAAGAUGAAAAACGAUGUUGGCAAAGUCCCUGGUCUUGCGGUUGUGUUGGUCGGCGAACAAAGAGACUCCCAAACUUAUGUGCGGAACAAGAUCAAAGCUUGUGAAGAAACUGGGAUUAAAUCUGUUCUGGCUGAGUUGCCUGAGGAUUGUACAGAAGGAGAAAUCAUCACUGUAUUAAAAAAAUUCAAUGAAGACACAUCUAUUCACGGAGUUCUCGUGCAGCUUCCUUUGCCCCAGGUGUGUUUCACAUUGCUUUUGUGUGUAAUAUGAGUCAUGACAUUGUGAUGGUGGAUGAUGAUAGUAUAUUGUGUGCAGCAUCUUGAUGAAGCAAAGAUAUUGAAUAUGGUGAGGUUAGAGAAAGAUGUUGAUGGGUUUCAUCCAUUAAACAUGGGGAACCUUGCGAUGAGAGGGAGGGAGCCGCUAUUCGUAUCUUGCACCCCUAAGGGAUGUGUGGAGUUGUUGAUCAGAGCAGGUGUUGAGCUAGCAGGAAAAAACGCUGUGGUGAUUGGAAGAAGCAACAUCGUUGGUCUCCCAAUGUCUUUACUAUUGCAGGUAUUAUUAGUUUUUUGCUAGUUACUGUGAUAGGCUUCUUAUGCUUGAGCAUUUAUUUGUCUUUGCUGACAUUAUUGGGUAGAGGUAUGACGCUACAGUAAGCACGGUGCAUGCCUUUUCAAAGGAUCCAGAGCACAUUACCAAGGAAGCUGAUAUUGUGGUUGCAGCCGCGGGUGUGCCUAAUCUUGUUCGUGGAAGUUGGUUGAAGCCUGGUGCAGUUGUCAUCGAUGUGGGGACAUGUCCUGUUGAGGUAUUCUGCUACAUAAAAACUUAGGUUAGAGCCUAAAUAAAGAGACCAAAUGUUUGUUCUUGGGUAUGAUGUUUGGCAGGAUAGUAGCUGUGAGCAAGGUUAUCGUCUUGUUGGGGAUGUAUGCUACGAGGAAGCGUUAGGUGUUGCCUCAGCGAUUACUCCUGUACCUGGAGGAGUCGGUCCCAUGACGAUUGCCAUGUUACUAUGCAAUACCUUGGAUGCUGCGAAGCGGACAUCCUUGUGAUAAAUAUAGCUAUCUCUGUCUUAUAACUAAAGAGUCCAUGUUGUUGGGGGGUUGAUCACAAAUUGACAAUCCCUUUUGAAUUUUGAAUUAUCAUGUUGUUACAGACAAUGGUUGAUGUCUGAUAUAGAGAAGCUCUUUGUCAGAGUAGAGUUUAAUGAUUUUGUUCUAGUAUCUGGUUUCUAGAUAACAGUGGAAUGUUUAUGUUUCAUUGGCGUUUACAAGAUGAGGAAGCCAUGGUAGUUAUGCAUGUGGUAGUUGUUGGAUCAUGAGUAGUAGUAGUUUGCAUGUGACGUCAAAGGUUGAAGAAUGAGUGAAGCAAGAUGUGUCACAUGAAGUAUCACGGAACAAAUGCUUGCUUCAAUCGUUACACGUGAUGUUGAAAGGGGAAUAUUCUAAAGACACUCUUUAAAUCCCUUUAACCCGGUUUGCAAUUUCGGUUUCAUCAGCUGUUAAUUUUUUAUUUAUUUCACUCUUAUCUCUCUCUUUUUCAUCUUCAAGAUAAUUAAAACAAACACAAAGUAACCUAAUCUUGAUUUAGACCACAUUUUCCAUUAAUCUAGUCAUGCCAAAAAAUGUAUUUAGAACACAUUUUGAAAAUCAAUACUCUGACUUAAAAUCUUUGAGUAAUCCAAUUUUAUUAAAAAUACCUUUAUAAUAAAAGAGAACAGCUGUCAAUUAGUGAUGAUUUUCUUAAGUAGAUUUCUAAACACUAAUAUAUUAAUAUUUUAAGAAAUUUUAUUUGUAUGAUUACAAUUUUAGUGUUUUAAAAAGAAAUAAUAAUUACUUAGCUUAAUUACUAGAGAACAACAAAUGGUAUAUCAAUCUAAUCUUUCAGCAUUUUUAUAGAUUCUUCAUAUUCUUACCUUUCUUUUAUUUUUUUCAUUUUUAAUAGUAUUAAAUAUCAUAGAAAAUUAGUACAACUUUUACAAUUACCAGAUUUGGUAACUAAAAUAUUAAUUAUUUACUAUCUAAAUCUGAUUAGGAGCCAAAAAUAGUGUUUUGUCAACCAAACCGAAUAACUUACACCCGAACCGGUUAUUUAUAAUCACCCAACAAGCCCAAACCAUCAAAUUUCAUUUCGGUUUAGCUGCAUCAUCCAUCUCCAGAGAAAGAAAAAAAAAUUAAAAUGCGAAAAGCAUAAAUAGGAUUCCGAUUCCGAGUCUCAAGUUCCAAAGAGAAGAAACAAACAUCUCCUAGAGAUAGCGAUCUCGGCGAACAACGUGAAGGGAAACAAACGACGAUCCGAGAGCGAGAGCGAAAAGCAUUUUCCUCUGAAAACAAAAAUGGUGUGGGAGAAGGAGAAGAUCGUCGGAAGCUGUAUAAUCGGAGGAGCCACGUUCGCCGUCGGAGCUACGUUCCUCCACCUCUUCCUCAAAGGCGAACUUCCUCUAGGCCUAGGGCUAGGCGCGCGUUUGGUCUCGUUCAGAAAGCGGAGGCCCGUUCGCGUCUACAUGGACGGUUGCUUCGACAUGAUGCACUACGGCCACUGCAACGCGCUGCGUCAGGCGCGUGCUCUCGGUGACCAAUUGGUCGUUGGUGUUGUUAGCGACGAAGAGAUCAUAGCUAAUAAAGGACCUCCCGUUACUCCUCUUCAUGAAAGGUCUCUCUCUCUCUCUCUCUAUUGGUUGUUGGUGUUGUUAGCGAUGAAGAGAUCAUAGCUAAUAAAGGACCUCCCGUUACUCCUCUUCAUGAAAGGUCUCUCUCUCGAUCUCAAUUCAUUUGUUAAGGCCGGUCCUGAGAUGGUGAAUAACAAUGUUCAACGAACCGUUAUACAGUACUAGUACUUGGUGUUUUAUAGGGGAUUAUUGAUUAGGCGGGCGCAUAAACAGACUUUUUUGAUGCCCACAUUGAUUUUUAAAGGCCGGUCCUAGAAUUUAAGGGACUUAACAAAUGGUGAAUAACAAUGUUCAAUUAACGGUAUGUAGUAAUUAGGCGUUUUAUAGAAGAUUAUUGAUUAGGCAGGCGCUUAAACGGAAUUUUUUUUAUUUCCACACUGAUUUUUAAAGGCUGGUCUUAGAAUUUAAGGGACUUAACAAAUGGUGAAUAACAAUGUUCAACGAACGGUAUGCAGUAAUUGGACGUUUUAUAGAAGAUUAUUGAUUAGGCAGGCGUUUAAACGGAAUUUUUUUUAUUCCCACACUGAUUUUUAAAGGCUGGUCCUGGAAUUUAAGGGGCGUAACAAAUGGUGACUAACAAUGUUCAACGAACCAGUUUUAUAGGGGAUUAUUGAUUAGGCGGGCGCUUAAACAGAAUUUUUUUAUGCCCACACUGAUUUUUAAAAUAAAUCGUUUUGUCUAGGUUCAAUCUUUGGCCUAAACGGGCAAGUAAACGAAGUCUAGACCAGUUUUUAGAAUACUAAUAAAUAAUGUGUAUAUAUAAGCCGAGACGAGGCGAAUGUUUCAUCUCAUUACGUCCAAAGCUGGCUUUGCCUUGUAUAACAGUGACAAUUACGGAUUAGAACUAAAUGAUCAAUAUAUAUAUGUCUUAAAUAAUUUGGGGGUAAAUGAUGUAUACAUAUUAACCAUAUGGGGCCUAGGCGGAUGUUUCAUCUGGCUAUGACCAAAACCGGCUCUGCCUUGUGUAUUUAGUUGUGUUGUAUGUUUAUUUUUUUUAUAUGGUUAUCUCAGGAUGGUGAUGGUGAAGGCUGUCAAGUGGGUGGAUGAAGUUAUAUCUGAUGCUCCUUACGCCAUCACUGAGGAUUUCAUGAAGAGGUUGUUUGAUGAGUACCAGAUUGAUUACAUCAUCCAUGGGGAUGAUCCUUGCGUUCUUCCUGAUGGAACUGAUGCUUAUGCAUUGGCUAAGAAGGCUGGGAGGUACAAGCAGAUUAAGCGCACUGAAGGAGUUUCGAGCACUGAUAUCGUUGGUAUAACUUACAUUCAUUUUAGCUCGUAUCAGCUGUAUUUGUUCAUCAAUUCAGGAUGCUUAGAGGAAAGUGUCUUUCUUUUCAUGUUAAGGGGAGAUACGAACUGCAUCAUGUUUAUGUAAUCAAGUGCCAUGAUAGCUUAGAUCUUGUGUAAUUACAUUCAAGUUUAUAAAUCUUUGCAGGUCGCAUGCUGCUCUGUGUAAGAGAAAGAUCGAACAGUCAUAGUCAUUCGUCACUGCAAAGGCAGUUUAGCCAUGGACAUAAUAGCCCAAAGUUUGAUGACGGAGGUUCCUCAGCUGGUACUCGCGUCUCACAUUUUCUUCCUACUUCCCGCAGGAUCGUUCAGUUCUCCAAUGGCAAGGUACGAGAGUCUUGAAGAGUGCCCUCUUCUCAAGUUUAGCUAUUGCAUAUUUGGAAUUGUGUAUAUCUCUAUUUAUUUCUUGAUGAUCUAGUUGGUUGAACUGGUAGGUACAUGACUCUUAAUUUCUAAUAGCUAUGCAAUUUCUGACUCUCUUUUUUAGUUGUUAUAAUUAUUAAAGAGAACGGGUGACAGCUUUCAUCAUCGGUAUGGGAACACUGUCUGGUUGAGUCUUGGUUCUUACCUUCUGAAACAUAAAUAGUUCACCCUGUCUAUGAUCAUUUCACCGAUUACCGGAUACUUUUUGUGUGUUUAUCUGUACUUUACCUAUUGAGUGACAGAAAGUUGCUUCGCAUCUCGUUUUAUUGCCUAUGUUAAUUCAUGCACGCUAGAUUAAACUUAAGAUUAUACUCUUUGGUUGAUUCACUUUUCUCCUCCUCAUUUUUUUUUAUCUGGGGUUGAUUAAGAGUACAUGAUUAUGGUGACAGGGGCCAGGACCGGAUGCACGCAUAAUUUACAUUGAUGGUGCUUUUGAUCUUUUCCAUGCUGGCCAUGUUGAGGUAUAGUACGUUCAUUUGGGGGCAGACAAUUUAGCCAUGUUAACUAUGUUUGUCGACCAGUCCAACUAGAAUUCCCUAAAUAUUUUUGAGGGAUCAUCCAUUUUAUUACGCCAAUGUUGUUAAUUCUUUUUUUUUUCUUGAUUAUUCAAUUGGUACAGAUUCUGAGGCGUGCUCGAGAGCUUGGAGAUUUUCUUCUUGUUGGGAUACAUAACGACCAGACUGUCAGGUUCAAGAAAGCUCAACUUUGGCUGUUUUCUUUAUAGUGAUUUUUAUGCAUAAAUAUAUAGCUCUUGUCCCCAUUCUGGAUUAGAUGUGCAUAAUUGCAUCCCUGCUUAAAUUCUUCUGAUCAAAUAGUACUUGUUAUACGUUGAUGUGCAGUGCUAGAAGUGGAGCGCGUCACCCAAUCAUGAAUCUCCAUGAAAGAAGCUUAAGUGUUCUGGCAUGCCGCUAUGUAGAUGAGGUGAUAAUUGGUGCUCCUUCGGAAGUGUCAAAAGAUACCGUGAGCUUUCAUUCUUUACUUAAUAAUAAUACACAAUGGACUUUCAUGAAGAGCUAUCUUUGACACUGAUUUGGAUGAUGCAGAUCACGACAUUUGACAUUUCGUUGGUGGUUCAUGGGACAGUAGCCGAGAGCGAUGAUUUUCAAAAGGUAAAACAAGAUUCAGAUGGAUUUUAUAUAACAAGGCAGUAUACAAAGAGUUUAUUUCUCAGAAUGUGUUUGUUGAUGAUCUGACACAGGAGGAAGGUAAUCCGUAUGCUGUACCAAUAAGCAUGGGCAUAUUCCAAAUCCUGGAAAGCCCUCUUGACAUCACAACCUCCACCAUAAUCAAGAGGAUUGUGAACAACCAUGAAGCUUAUCAGGCAAGUUGCUUUUCUUCUACCUCAUUCAUUUUCUUAUUGCAUCACUCUGACCAAUCUCUAACUUCAAAAUCGUUCUGCAAUUUUUUUAGAAACGUAACUUGAAAAAGGAAGCUAGCGAGAAGAAGUACUACGAGCAGAAGGCUUUUGUGACUGGCGACUGAUAGAAUCUUGAAAGCUUUGUAAGAGCAGACCAUCUUUGGGAUGUGAAUCUGUUUCUCCUUAUAUUUAUAUCUCCGUAGUAGUCCGUACUGGCUAUAGUAGGAUGUUUCUGCAUCAGACUCGAAUGCUACAUAGUAUUACAUUUUGUUCUCUAGUUUUUAAACAUAAAAAGGGCAUUGAUGAUUUUAGCACCAAAUGCUUCUUUUAUUUUCUUCACGUUUGGGAUGUUUCAUCUAACUUUCUACUUUCGUUUUUGCGUACUGCAAAUAUGUUAGGAUUGUAUAUGUUCACUAUCUGAAGAUAAAACGAUGAACUUCAUUAGAAAUGGUAAGUGCGGUUGAGUUUCAGACAGUGGUGAAACAGCCAAAUCUUGUCUCUUUGAAACUGAAAUCAGAGAGAGCAUUACAGUUUCGAAUCACAAAUGCAAUGAUAAAUUAGGAGAGGUCCCAAACAGGACCAAUCUCGCAGGAGUUUGAUGGUGCAAAUCAGGACAAGGGCUUGCUGGUCCCAUUAAUAGCCGGGACAAGGCCUCUUGUGGCCUUCACGUAUGAAAGGUAUUCACUAUAAUGCAUGCUGAAUAAUGUGCUCUGGUAUCUUGUUAGCUGGAUUCGCCUACGCACUGCCUCAGUUAUUUCACCAUUGUAUCCGGCUUUACGCACCAGAGAAUCUAUUGCCUCUAUCUUUGUCCAGCCUGCCAAAAACUAGUCAUGUAAGCUUUGAUAUAUAUAAUAGUAUGAGAUUCAAGUAUUGCUCCAAACAAUGCGAAUGAAUCCUCAGGUCUAGUCAAACAUACAAACACCUAAGCAAAACUGGUACCUUCAUGAGCAGGCACCUCAGGGAGAUAUGUGGCGUUUCGCUUUAUAUUAGUCACAGGUUCAGUGAAUUCAAUGAUUAUACCAUGCGUUCCCACCUUCAUAGUCAAAUCAGACAAAACUAAGUGAGUGGGAAUAUCAACAUGAGGGAUGUGACAGGAGAAGGUUUAUCAGAUGUGUGGAAUGACUAGCAUGCUACUACUUGUCGGUACUAUAUUCUUAUUUUAUGUUUAGAAACAGGAGACUAAGAUGAAGAGUGAAGAGUGAAGACAGUACCUCCCAAUCAAGAUAAUCCUCUGCAUCUUCAUAAUCAGUCAAGACGGACACCGUGCAUUGCAGAAACGGCAGUUCUUUGGGUUGGAUUGGUGGGAACCUACGAUCCCUCAGGGCACUGUGAUAUUACAUAAAUCAAAAAGGUACAUUUAUAACAAAUGACAUUGUACAGAAGAAAAAAAAGAGGUAGAUUAAGCUAAUGGGCAAACGCCAAGGAAUAUCAAAAUGUGUGAGUAAGUUACCUGGUCAAGGCAUAGUCCUUGAAGCCACUGAUCAAGCGGCGUGCUUCAAGUGUACCAAUACAUCCACGCAAACGAGGCUCCCCACCGUUCACUAUUUUCUUCCAGGUGACAAACAAUGGGCUACAAAGAAAACAACCACUGGACUAUGAGUAAGAGAAGAUGAUGUAAAACACCAAAUCAUCCAAUCUAUUCUACAUAUUUACUACUACUGACAACAAGUGGGAGAUGAACUUGCAUGUCACUAACAUAACAAACACAACAGGAGUUUUAAUGAAACGUACUGAUUGGCGUCGUCAAAGGCAGGUGGAGGAGAGUCUUCGUUGUUGUAGUGAGAGACCAAAGUGUCGAAACAGUACACAGCCAUCUCUUUGUUCGCCGACGCCAUUGUGUGCUUUUGAAGAAAACAAAAAAAAAACAAAAUUAGCAAGUAGUAUAGUGUGAACCUGAAAUUAUCCAAAAUCCAACUUAUAAAAAUACAACUACUAAGCAUGUGACUGGAUUUAUAUAAAAGGAUUAUUUUCCCCCACAAAAAGAGAUUUAGUUUAUGCUUACAAACACAACCCAACACAACCCAAAAACGAAUCACACAAAGAAUAUAGCAUUCUCAGAGAUAAACUAAUAAAAUAAUAUGAACACUGAAUAGUGACGAUGAAGAUUGGAGAAGUAAAUUGAUCGUUUUUUUUUCUAUAUAUAUUAAUAUAUAUAUGGGGAUUAAAAUCAAAAGCCACCACGAAAUCUAGAAGGAGCAUAGAGAGAGAUCUGUGAUAAGAAUUGAAAAGUUCAAACAGAUAGAGAAAUCAAUUGGGAGGAGCAUAAUAAGCGGAUAAAACCUGAGGAAAGCGCAAAAAGAAUCGAAGAUCGGUGGUGAGAUUGUUAAAAGUGUGUUUUAUGUUUCAGAAGCAAAGCUUUUCUUUUAAGACACUGACAAUUGUGUUUGGCUGGUGUGUCUUUUUCUUGAAGAGGACUUUAAUAACUACUAUUUUAUAUCAGACUUUCACACUUGGGCCCAUUAUCCGGACAUAAUACCUGGACCCAAUAUCCAAACAUAACACUCGGGCCCAAGAAAUUUGUAUUUUUUUAAAUAAAAUUAAGAAGUUUCAUAUAUUAUGUUUAUAUAUAAAAUUAAGAAAUUUGUAUAUUAUGGUUAACGGUGAUGGUUCGCGUGAAAUCUUCCUCUCGGUGCUUGCCAUGAAUGAUGAUGGAUGAGAUCACGAACAGUUUUUGAAAUUGGGUUCACUUGAGUUGAAGACGUUUGCGGUGGUAAUGGUGUGAAGUCAGUGAGCUCUAGUGGAUCCGGGUGAAUCGACGGUUGGUUAUCCGAUGUUAUUUCGAAACGAGAGCGAUGUCGGAGCUGCAGCGUUUGUCCGCGCGGCGGCAGAGCCUCGUGUGUCCUAGGGUUUCAUAGUUGAACCUUAGGCCCAAAAUUUUAUUGUAUUUUGGUCCGUUUCUUUGGACUUCUGUAUGUUGUACUGUAGGUUUUUUAGGCCCGUUAAUCAAAUAUCUAUUGAGGGACGGUACUAUAUUCUUAUUUUAUGUUUAGAAACAGGAGACUAAGAUGAAGAGUGAAGAGUGAAGACAGUACCUCCCAAUCAAGAUAAUCCUCUGCAUCUUCAUAAUCAGUCAAGACGGACACCGUGCAUUGCAGAAACGGCAGUUCUUUGGGUUGGAUUGGUGGGAACCUACGAUCCCUCAGGGCACUGUGAUAUUACAUAAAUCAAAAAGGUACAUUUAUAACAAAUGACAUUGUACAGAAGAAAAAAAAGAGGUAGAUUAAGCUAAUGGGCAAACGCCAAGGAAUAUCAAAAUGUGUGAGUAAGUUACCUGGUCAAGGCAUAGUCCUUGAAGCCACUGAUCAAGCGGCGUGCUUCAAGUGUACCAAUACAUCCACGCAAACGAGGCUCCCCACCGUUCACUAUUUUCUUCCAGGUGACAAACAAUGGGCUACAAAGAAAACAACCACUGGACUAUGAGUAAGAGAAGAUGAUGUAAAACACCAAAUCAUCCAAUCUAUUCUACAUAUUUACUACUACUGACAACAAGUGGGAGAUGAACUUGCAUGUCACUAACAUAACAAACACAACAGGAGUUUUAAUGAAACGUACUGAUUGGCGUCGUCAAAGGCAGGUGGAGGAGAGUCUUCGUUGUUGUAGUGAGAGACCAAAGUGUCGAAACAGUACACAGCCAUCUCUUUGUUCGCCGACGCCAUUGUGUGCUUUUGAAGAAAACAAAAAAAAAACAAAAUUAGCAAGUAGUAUAGUGUGAACCUGAAAUUAUCCAAAAUCCAACUUAUAAAAAUACAACUACUAAGCAUGUGACUGGAUUUAUAUAAAAGGAUUAUUUUCCCCCACAAAAAGAGAUUUAGUUUAUGCUUACAAACACAACCCAACACAACCCAAAAACGAAUCACACAAAGAAUAUAGCAUUCUCAGAGAUAAACUAAUAAAAUAAUAUGAACACUGAAUAGUGACGAUGAAGAUUGGAGAAGUAAAUUGAUCGUUUUUUUUUCUAUAUAUAUUAAUAUAUAUAUGGGGAUUAAAAUCAAAAGCCACCACGAAAUCUAGAAGGAGCAUAGAGAGAGAUCUGUGAUAAGAAUUGAAAAGUUCAAACAGAUAGAGAAAUCAAUUGGGAGGAGCAUAAUAAGCGGAUAAAACCUGAGGAAAGCGCAAAAAGAAUCGAAGAUCGGUGGUGAGAUUGUUAAAAGUGUGUUUUAUGUUUCAGAAGCAAAGCUUUUCUUUUAAGACACUGACAAUUGUGUUUGGCUGGUGUGUCUUUUUCUUGAAGAGGACUUUAAUAACUACUAUUUUAUAUCAGACUUUCACACUUGGGCCCAUUAUCCGGACAUAAUACCUGGACCCAAUAUCCAAACAUAACACUCGGGCCCAAGAAAUUUGUAUUUUUUUAAAUAAAAUUAAGAAGUUUCAUAUAUUAUGUUUAUAUAUAAAAUUAAGAAAUUUGUAUAUUAUGGUUAACGGUGAUGGUUCGCGUGAAAUCUUCCUCUCGGUGCUUGCCAUGAAUGAUGAUGGAUGAGAUCACGAACAGUUUUUGAAAUUGGGUUCACUUGAGUUGAAGACGUUUGCGGUGGUAAUGGUGUGAAGUCAGUGAGCUCUAGUGGAUCCGGGUGAAUCGACGGUUGGUUAUCCGAUGUUAUUUCGAAACGAGAGCGAUGUCGGAGCUGCAGCGUUUGUCCGCGCGGCGGCAGAGCCUCGUGUGUCCUAGGGUUUCAUAGUUGAACCUUAGGCCCAAAAUUUUAUUGUAUUUUGGUCCGUUUCUUUGGACUUCUGUAUGUUGUACUGUAGGUUUUUUAGGCCCGUUAAUCAAAUAUCUAUUGAGGGAUAUGUUUAUAUAUUUUAAUAUACAUAAAAUAUAUGCUUUUUUUUCUUUUUGAUCAAAAAAUAUAUGCUUUCAAAAUAGAAAAAUCAAGUUUGGUUCUCCAAAAACCAAAAUGUUGAAAUUUCGAAUAUUAUAUUCUCUUAUUUUUUAAUAUAUAUCCAUCCACAUUCAAAAUUUGGAGUUUCUCCAGUGCACAAAAAUCGAGAUAGGGAUACAAAAAAAUUCUAAAUUACCGCCAAAAUAACAUUUCUUUCCAAAACUGACACUCGCUCUCCUCCUUCAACACACACACAAUCUCUCCUCGGGAUCUUCUUCACCCUUCAUCCUCUCUAGGGUUUCCCCCCCCAUCGUCGCGGAAAAAAAAAAGAAAGAAGAAAAUGUCUCUAUCUUCAUCCACCACCACCACCACUUGCACUUCCCUCCUCCAAGAACUACAGGUUCGAUUUUGAAUUCCCACGAUUCAAUUGAUCAGAUUCAAUUGCGUCUUGUUCUGUAGAAUUGAGAUUGUUUUUUUUCUUAUGCAGAUCAUAUGGGAUGAGAUUGGCGAAGGCUACAGCGAGAGAGACAAGAUGCUGCUUGAACUCGAGCAAGAGUGUCUCGACAUAUACAACAAGAAAGUUGAGAAGACUCGCGAUCACAGAGCUGAGUUGCAACGAUCGUUAUCUCAAUCCGAAGCUGAGAUCGCCACCCUCGUGUCUGCGCUCGGUGAACAAGCCUCCUUCUCGAAGAAAGAAGGCUCUUUGAAGGAGCAGAUCUCUUCUGUGAAGCCUGUGUUGGAAGAACUGAUGGUGAAGAAGGAUCUGAGAUGGAAGGAAGUGUCUGAGAUAGUGACGCAAAUAGCUGAGAUCUCUUCUAACAUUGCGGGGAAUGAUUCUCUUGUUAGCUCUGGUUUUGAAGUUGAUGGAAGUGACUUGACGAAGAGGAAGUUGGAUGAGCUUAGAGCUCAUCUCCAGGAUCUUCGCAGUGAAAAGGUGUUCUUAUAGAGUUAUAUGUUAGAAAGAGUAUUAUGGUUAUAGGGCUGUUCGUUUGGUUGCCGCAGGUACCGGCAGCGGCAGCGUCAACGUUCUGACGCCGCGUCUGAACACCGCGUCCUGCGACUGACGCCGAUAAAACCUGCGAUCCCCGUAUAAUAUGCGGCAGCGGUAGCGUCAGCGUCUGCGAAACGAACAACAACUGUCCUCAUUGACGCUGUCGCUGCCGCUGACGCCGAAACCUGCGGCAACCAAACGAACAGGGCUUAUGUGUGCUUAUCUUUUUUUUAUUUUUUUUUCAGGCUGUUCGGUUGCAGAAAGUGAACUCUUAUAUCAGUGCUGUCCAUGAGUUGUCAGAGAUUCUUUCGUUUGAUUUCUCCAAGGCGUUGAGUAAUGUUCAUAAAAGCCUUACCGGGGCUUCGAAAAGCAUUAGUAAUGAUACUCUUGCUAGAUUGACAGAGCUUGUAGAGUCUCUGAGGAAGGAGAGACGUCAGAGGCUGCUUAAGGUGAGCAAAGAAAAAAUACUUUCUCAAUUGUUUGGAAAACUAGUAGGGAUUGAUACCUUUGAGAGAUUCUUGUUUAUUUCAGCUACAAGGUUUGGGAAGAAACAUGCAAGAGCUGUGGAGCCUGAUGGAAACAACUGCGGAUGAGAGGAGAAGAUUUGACAAUUUGAGUAUCUUGCUUUCUGUUCAAGCUGAUGAUGCCUUGGGAAAAGGAUGCCUCGGUCUAGACAUUGUCCGAGAGGUAAUGUCAUCAUAUCAUAUUCAUUUGUUCUCAUCUGUCUGAGUCAGCGAGUAUCAAACUUUUGAUUUAAGUCUAACAUUUUGGUUAUAGGCUGAAGAUGAAGUGGAAAGACUGAAUGCCCUGAAGUCCAGCAAGAUGAAGGAGUUGGUUCUGAAGAGGCAUUAUGAACUAGAAGAAAUCUGCAGAGAGGUUCAUAUGGAUUUCAAUAGCGAUGCUGCAAGACAGAGUCUUAUCGACGUCAUUGACUCUGGUACCAUACUAUUCCUCUCUUGUAGGCUGACUAAUUAAUUAAGUACAAACUGUUUUCUGACUAAUGUGAAAGUACGAUGGACAUGGCUCCGCAGUUAAGUUACUAAUGUAUGGUUUAAAGUUAUAUAUUUCAUUGAGUGUGCAGUGACGAAGGUUUCCUUUGCAGGUGAUGCUGAUCUGUUUGGUAUUCUGGAAAGCCUAGAUGAGCAGAUCGAGAAGGCAAAAGAGGAAGCUUUAAGCAGGAAGGAAAUUUUAGACAAAGUUGAAAAGUUGAAGCACGCAAAGGAAGAGGAAAAAUGGCUUGAUGAUUAUGAAAAGGUGACUACCACAUCGCGUUUUAAUAGCUAUAUUUUAUGAAAAUAGGUAAAGAGAAGAUCUAUGGACCUUGGAACUGAUUGUGAGCAUUUAUCUGAUGAAAUAUAUUUGUCUUAAGAUUAACUGCAGAGAUUUUUUUUUGUAUAGUUUUGGUGUUAGAGAGUAUCUCAUUUUGUGUGAGUUUCCUAAAAAACUAGCUUUGUAUACGUAUGUGAUAUUGAUUGUUUCUUGUAAUUUGCUUUCUUAACAGGAUGAGAAUCGCUUUAGUGCUGUAAGAGGAGCGCACAAAAAUUUAAAACGCGCGGAGAAAGCUAGGAGCCUUAUCAGCAAAAUUCCUGGUGAGUCUUUUAUACAUGCAUUACUUGAUUAAUGCAAGCAAGUCUGUCUUCUGGAAUUGGUAACUAGAUAUCCCUUUGGAUUAGUUUUCAAUAAUCUUUUUUCUUUUCAUUCCAAGAUUCUUAUUAUUAACAGCUCAACUAGAGGACAGUUCCUUCCAGCUUAAACUCAAAAACUCAUUGUUAGAUGUUUGGAGUUUCUGAUGUUUUUCUUUGCACUGGUUAGGGUAAAUAGUGUUUGAAGGUAGUAAUAGUCAGUGCCUGAUUCAAAUCAAGUGAAGUUUCUGUAGCCUUUUUGUGAUGCUUAUUCAUCCCUCCAAAAGUAGUUGAUGUUUGUCUGUUGUAAAACUGAUCGGUCUUGAGAUGACAUUAACCUCUUAUGUUUAUUUUAUAAGCAAUGAUCGAUGGUCUGACCACCAAAGUGAAGGCAUGGGAGAAAGAAAGAGGAGUCCCCUUCCUAUGUGAUAAGGUAACGAACUGUACAUUUACUCAACUGUCCUUUUUAUGGUUUGAUUCAGCUUAUGUGAGUUAUGACUUUUUCGAUCCAGCACCCGUUGUUACAAACACUGGAAGAAGAAAUUGUUUUGCGUGCUCAAAGAGAGGAGGAAAAGCGUCAGUUCCGAGUAUGUGUGUUAGUCAAAACAAGGAUUUGUAGACAAUCACUGUGGUCUUGAACUAACACUUUGUUUGUUUUGCGUAAACAGGAGCAGAAAAGACUACAAGGUCAGCUUGCUACAGAGAAAGAAGCAAAGUAUGGUUCAAAAUCUGCAAAGAAGAAGCCAUUGGGACAGAGUCUUAACACAGACAAUGUGACAAAAACACCACUUGGUCGUAGGGUUGGGACUACACCUGGCCGUUCUGGUGUCAAAGAUUAUAGAGAAAGCGGCAGAGGCAAUGCCACCGCGAUACCGCUGAACUAUGUCGCUCUUCAGAAAGAAGAUUGAUUGAUACUAGAUACUAGAAAGGGGGUUAGGGUUUUACAUAAAGCUACAUUACAUGUUGAUGAGCUGAUAGACUUCUUAUGUGAUUCUUUUUGGUUUCUAGUUCCUUUUGCUAAUGAUGUUUUCAGAUUUUAGUUGGUAUGAAUAUGAAGUGUCACAUUUUUACUCAUAAUAUCCAAACCAAAGUUUAAAACAGGCUUUGCUUCUGGAAAUGAUGUCAAUUCAAAAACCAUCUGUCACAAUGCAUAAGGAUUACAACUAAUAAGCUCAGGGUUCUCACUACAUUACUCCUUCAGAAGAAAAGUUUUUUUCAAGUAGUGUUUCGGGUGAAAAAAAGCUUGUCACAUCUCACCACACUCUGUAAUUACAACGGCAAGCUUAGGGCGGUUGUUUGGUCCAACAGCAACGUUCUCAAUCUUCCGCAUCACCAAUAAGCCAUCUCCAAGCACCCUCUGUACAUCACAAAGAAGAAUUUGUAAUGAGUCAUAACAAAACUAUUACCAAACAUAUGUGCACAAGAGUUCAUGAUUCAGUGCCUUCUGCCUCAACUAUCUAUGGCUUUUAAGUUUCUACUAUUAAUCGAUGGAAGAAAACUGAAAAGCUUCUGGUUCAAUCAUAUGCAAUACGUGUGUAAGUGAAAAGAGAACAUACCCCAAAGACAACAUGCUUGUUGUCAAGCCACUCGCAUUUUGCACAGCUGAUGAAGAACUGCAAUGCAAAAGAGCAAAGUUUAAUUAUAGCCUUAAAUGAUAACAUAUAUAUAUAUGAUGGCCAACCAAGUAACUAUACUUCUUUUUCUAAAGCUAAAGUUUAAUAAAUUAGAUUAGCACCAUAGCCAAUUAGCCAUUACAGUUUAGCGAUUAUAUUGAGACAGAAAUUACCUGGCACCCAUUUGUGUCUGGCCCACUAUUUGCCUAUAACAAAAGAAGGAGAUGAGCAAAAUUAGCGAUCAAAGUCAUGCGUAUUAUAUCAGAAAGGUAAUAGGGCUGUUCGUUUGGUUGCCGCAGGUACCGGCGGCAGCGGCAGCGUCAACUCUUGUUCGUUUCGUUGAUGCAGGAAGUUGCGUCUGACGCCACUGACAUAAUAUGCGGCAGCGUCAGCGUCUGCGAAACGAACAACAACUGUCCUCAUUGACGCUGCCACCGCCGCUGACGCCGAAACCUGCGGCAACCAAACGAACAGGACUAAUAGCAUACCAUGGAGAGGAGUCCAGGUCCGGUAUGUUUAGCAGUAAAAUUCUCAUCAUCGAACUUGUGACCAUAAAUGGACAUGCAUCCAUUACCAUCAUUCUGCACAAGAGUUGAACAUGUUUGAGCAUUUAGUUAAACAAAGAAGCUGAAGCUCUAUAUGGAGGCAAAAGGAACAGACCUUAAGAAAAUCACCACUCUGAAUCAUAAAGUCCUUGAUGACCCUGUGGAACUGACACUCCUUGUAACCAAGAGGCUUCCCAGCCUUUCUGCAUUUUUUACAUUACACCCACCAGAUAAAAAAAAAAAGGUUAGCUUUUUAAGUAGCAAGGUGAUAAUAUGAUCUACGCUUAGCUAGCAAAGUGCAUCAAGACAAGAUUUUGAGACAUGCCCAUCUCACAGAAUCCAAAAAAAUCGAAUGUACCUGAGUUCACCAGUACAGAACUGCCUGAAGUUCUCGGCGGUUUUGGGGGCGAUGUCGGCGAAAAGCUCCAUCUUGAUGCGACCCGCGGGGAUGCCGCCGAUAGAGACGUCGAAGAAGACGACUGGGUUUUUAGGGUUCGGUGGUCUCACGUGCCACUCCACGUUUCCUCCGCCGCCGCUUGACGGAGCUGAGGCUGGUGCUGGUGGUGCAGCUACGAUUCCUCCUGCUCCAGAACUCAUCGCAACUCAAAAAGCUAAGAGAGAUACUUUCUUCCUUCCUUCCCCGUUCUCUGAUCAAGGAACCUACUUGGGCUUUUAAAUUCGAACCUAUUUGGGCUUAUAUUCGAUCCUACUUGGGCUUAGAUUCCAAGUGGUGAAAUGAAAGUUGCAAUACAACCCUCCAACUGUCUUUGUCUUUUCAAAUUUACCUUUUUACUUAUGAACAUUUCAAUGUAACCCUCUGAAAACUUCUACAAGAAUAAGCUGUGAAGAGGAACUUGAGUGUCACUACAUCAUUCAUCAUGUAAGAGACUACCUUAAUGCUCUCUAUUAGAAUGCACAAACUCUUUACAUUUUCAAACCACUAAGAUUUAAACAUAGGGAAACAUGUUUAAUAUAGCCCUAUUAAUCAUACAUAUAUAUAUAUAUCUUCAGUCGUCACGUAACCAAAUAAAAACAGAGGUUUUAGUAUUCUUCCAUUGACAAAAUGCAUGUGGUUUACCAUACAAAACAAUAUUAUUGAAAGGUAAGUUACCAACUUAGAAUUGAGCAUGUAAGAGUUACAUACGUCAAAAGAAAAUAGAAAAAGACAGCUAAAUUUGAUAAUUUGGAAGUUGGAGAAGCUCCUCCACUGUCAUAAAAAUCCCCAUUCAACAAAAGAUAAAAAAAGGGUCUGCUCAUGCGUGCGAUGGCUAGACAAGUGAGACAAGACUUCUAAGAACUCUUCUUGCUAUCAAGCUCCUCCAACACACCCAACAGUUUCGGAUCCGCAUAGUUCUCUAUAAGAAAAGCAGGUCUAGCUUGCAUCAGCACGCUUGCUGGAUUCCCUGUGGUAAGUCCAACCACAGGCAUUCCAGCCGCAACUCCAGCUUUUAUCCCAGAGACCGAGUCCUCGAACACCAGCGCAUGCUCUUUCGACACGUUAAGCACUUCGAGAGCCUUCAAGUAAGGCCCCGGGUGUGGUUUGGGAAACUCACAUUCAGAGCCGAGAAUCACUGCCUGGAAGAAAUCAGUGAGACCAAGUUUCGAUAUGAUGAGCUCUGCGUUCUCUUUUGGAGCGUUUGUCACGGCGGCUCGUUUCAGUCCACGGUCUUCGAUCCAUUUGGUUAGUUUUAGAAGUCCGUCAAGUGGCUUUACCUUCUCUGCUACGAGUCUAACCAAAAAAACAAAGUUAACUUGAUAGUCAAGACGGUUCGGUGAUUUUCGGGGGAUAUAAACAAUUUAGUAAAGGUUUUUAUAAGAUAAUUUUUAUACAAAUUUAAAAACCUAUUUCUAUGUAAAUUAAUUUCAAAAUUUUGAAAGUUAUUGGCCUAUGUGUUCACUUGGCUAUGCUCAGGACAACUAGAGGUGAAGCCAAGGCAUCAAUUAUGGUGGCAUGUACAACCACAAAAUAUUGAAAAGAAAUUUAGUGUGCCUAAUCAUAAAAUGCCAGCUAGAUUAGAUGGUUAUAACGAUAUUGUGCACAAAUAAUAAUGUUCUCGGGUUCAAUAACCAAUUUGUCAUUUAUUCAAUUUUAGUACAAUUAUCAAUUAAAUCUUUCUAGAUUCGCCCCUGAGGACCACCCAUAUCAAUAGGGAAGCAAUUUUUAAGACAGAAACGUGACUUACUUGCGGAAGAGAGCUUCCUUGUCCUCGCAAAACUUUAACCCUUUAGCAACAUCAUCAGGGAAGAGAACGAGAGCAAUCUCAGAGUUGUGUUUUCCAGCAAUGUUGGCAAUGAAGAACUUCUCGUCGAUUGGGACACCAUUGUUAAAACCAAUCUGUGAGUGAUUCAAGAAAGCAACAUUUUGAGACAAGAACUUGAAUGUAAGUAAGUAUUAUAUAAUAAGGUUCCAAAGCUGAAGAUAUUAUUCAAAAAGGAAUUAAUAACCUGUUGGAGCAGUUCUUGGAAGGCGAUAAGGUGGAUGGGAUCAGAGUCACAGAGUGUUCCAUCAACAUCAAACAGAAUGGCUUCUAGUGGAGCAAGAUGUGAGAGCGAUGGUUUGCUGCUUCACAACAGAAAAAUGAAAUAGAGUUGAACAAAAAUAACAACGUAUAGAUCAAAAUCUCAACAUAAGGAUCAAAUUUGUUAUUAUAUCUAUCAUCUAGCUUUCAGUUUGGUCUUGAUAAUAUAAGGAGAAAGAUCGCAACAGUUUUGUACCAUCAGAUCAUGCAUACAUAUAUAAUAUAAGUUAUCAUUGACUCUGAAAGUAGGAUCAAGCACGUUACCUCUCGGAAGAAGUGAGAUCAGAGAAGCCAUUCAUUGCGAUGAAACAGAGAAACAAAACCGGAUCUGUGAUUGCAGAGAAGACACCAACCAAUAGCUUUUGAGUUUUGAGAGAAAGUGCGAAGAAUAUUAAAAGGUACAAAAUGGGAAUCAAAUGGGUGCACGUCAGAGGAAGAUUCGGCCGGGGCUUUUUCAACACGUGGUGCCUUUUGUAUUUUUUAAUAACGAACGCAUUAUGCCAAAACUGGAAACCUGGAUUUCAUACCGUCUUCCGGUUUAGAUAAUUCAUUUGAAUUUAUUAGGCAUUUUGGUUGAAGAGGCGGGUAUGAUAAGAUCACGAACAAUAACCUAAGGAAAAUAUAUGAUUUUGUCUUUUAAUAUGAAAAAUAAAGUUUUAUAAAAUUACAUAUAGUAACUAAAAUAGUAUGAAAUUUAUAAAAUUACAUCAUAAUCUGGACAAUAUCUUAUUCUGUAAUUUAUUUAGAGUUUUUAGAUAUAGUUUUUUUUUUAUAUAAUAAAAACAAGAUUGCAACUUUUAUUGGUUGGCGAUUCAAAUUAAAACGGAAUGAAGUUUUGAACAGGUAUUUAACGACUUAUUAGCCGAUUAAGGGCUUGACUGGUUCAAACGCAGCAGUUACGGUUGCGGUUGCGGGAGUUUGUGGAUGCAUGCAGUUGCGGUUUCUAGCGGUUUUAACAGAUUUGUACGAUUGUUACUGCAGUUAAAAAUUGAUGCGUUUGCGGAUGACUUAUGACUGGUUAACUACCAAAUGCGGUAGGUUCGAAGCGGGUUAGAGCGAUUUGAGUGAUUGUUGCAAACCGCCGACAACCGCUACCAACCGCAAAAGCUCGUUUGCGGGUCGUAGCGAGAAAACCAGUCGCCCCCUAAUACCACCCUUCAUAUGUCAAAGAUCCCCUCUAAGUGUUCCCCUACAACACAUUUACUUUUAUACUAUGACUAGACUUUCACAAGUUUUAAAUAUUUUGCAACUCAUGAUAUUUUUUGUGGGUUUUUUUAAUCAUUAUAGCUCUUUUUUUAUUGAAUAAGUGAUGAUGCAAUGGUUCUCGUUUAGUGAAAACAAAUACAUGUUGUCUCUAAAAAAAUUUAACAGAUCCAAAUGACAUCUAGUCGUCAUCUGAAUAUCAUGUUCAUGUGCAUAAAAGUGUUAUGUUUUCAUAUAUUGGAAUCGUGAUCAUAAUUAGACAUGAAAACAGAGUUUAACAUGAACACACUCUUUUUCUCUCACUGAAUCAUGUCACCAACGACAAGAACUCUUUAUUAUCAAAUCAAAAGGGUAUAGAAAACGCAAAUGUUGGAAUAGAAACACAACCAAAAGGAAACCAAACGUUUAGUAACAAAAAGUCUUGAGAAUACUUUCUCGACCGAGAUCAGUUCGAUUUGGAUAGCAGUGUGAGCAAGAAAUCUCUGUAGUUUCCUCUAAUCUUCUCUUGAAUAUUUUGGGCUAACGUCUCACCGUAGCGCUGAUUAUACUCUUCUGCGAUCUCCUUCAUCUCAUCACUAUGAUCCGCUCUCGUAACGAACACUCUUGUCAACCAUUUCUUGGUGCCCUUGUCCGCAUCUUUGUUCAAAGACGCAUUCAAAAUCUAGCACCAAAGAAAUAAGAGACUUUAUUAAAACAUUAUUUUGUCGUUAUUAAAAAGAAAUAUUAGAAGUUUAUAUACGAAAAUACAUGUGUAACCAUAUAAGUUUAUUGUGUUACAAAAAAAAACCAUACAAGUUUAUUACCUUGCUGAAGUACACAGAGGGUUUGAGCAAGCAAAGCAAUGCAUCAUUGAGGAUUGAAGAGUCAGAUACACCCUAAUGAUCAUGCCACAAGAUUUUCUUGACCCAUUAGAAAAUUUAUACAUGUGAUUACAUAAAUAGUAUAACAAGUGUAAGGAGUCAUAUAUAUGUAUGUUACCCCAAGAAGAUCAGAGCCAUUGAUUUGGUUAAAGUGUUUGUAGAGUUGUUGGAUAUGAAGUUUGCUUCUUGUGCUCAGAAUCCUAACAACCUCAUCAUUCUCAAUGGCUUUCUCUCCUGGAGAAGCCACCGCCUCGGCCAAAAUCUUAGCGUCAGAUUUAGCUAAAUCAUCCUUCACCUUGUUCCCUUCGUAUCUGUAAGCACUCACGAGGCCUACAAGCAGCUGCAUGCACAAACACAUACAAGAGACAUGCCAGUGAGUAAGAAGAGAUCUAGAGAGAUCAGGUGUGGGGGGGUGUAUGGUAAGAAAGAAUGUUACUACUGACCUUGCGGCGAGAGCCGUGGAUGUUAGAGGCAAUGUCUUCUUCCAUCGACUGGUCGAAGAGUGAGUGGUAAGCUUUGCGUGCGCCUAGGAGAUCAUCAGAGGAGCGAGUGCAUGCCACCUCCACGAUGAGGCUGUAACAUUCAUCUCCUUUCUUCAGUGCUUUCUUCACCACCCUUGCGUCUCUCUCCCAUGGAUGCAUCGACCACAUGACCACCGCAUUCUACACAUCAUAUAGACUAAACGUUCAUCAUUUCCAUGGAGUGAUAAGGUUUACCUAUUUUUCUCUUCAUAAGGAGUGUCUUAUUAGGACUUCGUUAGGAAACGCGAAAGGACCAAUACUAGUAGUUUAUCAAAGUUCAUUUCUUGAGAUCAAAGCACAUGAUACUUUACAGAGUAUUUGAUAAAAAAUUAUAGGAAUAUAUUCUUCGUCAAGUAACAAGCAUCUACAUCUCUAACCAAGUUCUUGAGAGUAUAUGAGUAAAUUCUUCAUCACGUGUUCUUGAGAGUAUAGGAGUAAAUUCUUCAUCACGUAACAAAUAGCUACUACAUCUCUAACAAAUCGCACACUAAAUAGUUGCAUAACAAACAAUCAAUGAAUACAAAAGGAUGAUAAUGAGCUAGUUGUUAAUUUGUUAAUGUUAAUUACUCUAAUAUAUAAAUUCAGAAAUUUUAGAUUUUUAGUCUUUCACUAAACUGAAAUAAAUUGUUUGUUUUGUACUUUUAUUAGGAAAAACAAUGAUUGGUUUGUUAUUAGGUAAGAAGUAAGAAUGGUGGGAAACUAGUUAAUUAAAUAGAUUGAAAUAGCAAUAACUUUGCCAAAAACAACUAUAAUAAGUAUUAAUAAAAUAUAUUUUUUUUAGAAAAACCAGAAAACGAAAGAUAAAAUUUGAAAAGAAAAAAGAAAGAAAGAAUGAAAGAUGUAAAGUUUUGCCAAAACAAAAAGAAUUAAAUAGUACAACUUUUGCCAAAACAAAAACUAGAAUAUAUAGUAAUAAAAUGUUAAGAAAAGAUAUAUAAAUAGAAACCCCAGAAAAUGAAAAAUGUAAAGGUGUAAGAAACUGACAUUGAAGCGGGAGAACUCAAGCUUGAGAUGUUUGACAAAUUGAUCAUGGCACUUCUCAAAAGCUCUUUCUUCAUCUUCCUCAAAGAAACCUUUGCUUGCUUUCCUAAACAACUUUCGAUGAUCCUUGUGUGAAUUCCCCAGUGUGCUUAUCAAUGCUUUCUCAUCAACUCCCAUUCCUACAUUUUUUCCUAUAUGAUAUCCAACAUAAUUGAUUAACCUUCAAAAUCAUUCUUAAUUGGUUUUCUCACGAUUUUGACAUUCACUGGUUUGCCAAAAUUGACUUUUAAGAAGUACCUGAGAAUGCGUCAACAAUGCUUUCAAGAUCGAGUGUGUGAGCCAUUUAUCUUAAUGUUGUUUUUUUUCUAGCUUUGAUUUGGUUUUUGUGGAGAGCUAUUGAAGAGACACAAGUCAUUUUAUAUGAUGCGGGGAUUAUAGAGAAAAGGGUGUUUUCGGUAAUCAAUAAGUAUUUGUUUAGUUUAAUAGUUUCGUGUUCAGAUUUAAGACAAACGCUAGGUGCAUUGUUGUAACAAGAAGUAACGCUCACGAAAUUUAUUAUUUUACAUCUUUUAAGUUUUAACAACUGUUUUGCAAGCACAAAUUGAAUUACAGUAAUCCAAGACAAAUUAAAACUUACUGUUUUUUUUUGUUUAAACUGAAUUUUUUAAGUUUGACCAUUACAUAAAACGGUCAGUAUAUACAAUUAUACAUAUAUCAUCAUAUCUAUAAUUAAGUAUUGUCUUUGCGUUUCAAUCUAAUAUAGUAAAUAUAAUAAUUUUAUCUAAAAUGUAUAAUCAUUUCAAAAUUUGUUUUUUAAAAUACUUUACUAUAUUAUAUAAAAUAGUUACAGGUUAUAGAUACAUAUGUUAUAUAUAGUAUGAACAGUUUGAAUCAAAAAAUAGAUUUAAGAAGUUAAAAAACAAUUAAAACACUAGACAACAUAUUUUAUGUCGUGAUCUAAACUUGCGUUAGGAAAUUUACAACAAAAACUAAUCAUAAGUAACACCUGCAUGUGCUCUGGCAGAUAAUAUAAGAUACGAUACAGAAGGUUAAGAUCCAUGUGAUUUUAAGUAGGUCGAAUCUCAGAUAAUUAAAAUAAUAUAAGACUAGGAAAAGUCAACUACGUGGGAUUCACUCCAUCUUAAACGAAUGUCAGAUAACAAUUACAAUGAAUAAACAGAUGAAACGAUUAAGUUGUAGAGGUUUGCAUGUAUAACGUUAUUGGAUGUUAAAUCAGAAAAGGGCGAUCAAACCAGCAUUCAUGAGUUGGCUUCGUUUGUUAUAUUAUGAUUCCUGGAAAAAAAUUAAGACAAAAAGUAAAUAUUGAAUCAUUUGGUACGUGCGACGAAGUUUCAAAGAUCAUAAAUCUUUCACAUAAAUAAACAAAAUAGGUUCGAAGAUCAUGGCAAGCUCUUCUUCUCUUAAACUAAUAUUAAUGUCUUCUGUAAGGUUUGAUGCGUUCUCAAUUUGUCCAGACUGUCUCUCAGCGAUUCAAAGGAGUAGAUGAGAAGCCUCCAUCACGUUUCCUUAACGAGGCUAAUAAGUGAUUAGGUUAUUAAUAUACAACAAGCAUCACACAUUCGCAUGGUGUUUAAAAUAAAAUAAAAUAAAUUAUUGCUGCAUAUCUGUCAUCGGGGUUGUACAAAAACCUUAUUUUUUGGCAUACCUUCAUAUGUCCCUAUCUUAAAAGAAAUAUUUGGUCAACCAAAUUAAUAUAUAGCUAAAGACAUGGUGUGUCGUUUGCAGACGUGCAUAUAAACAAGAUCACGUUUAACACGACGAGACGACUUCACAAUAAUUUAGAGGGGACAGAAUAGCUGUGUCUAUAUAUGAUUUGCAUUUCGCUAUCUCUUUUAAUUUGAUUUGGUUAAACUUAUUCCUCAGUCAUAAGAUCCCGUCAUUUUCUAUCCUCUUAAAUCUAAUAUAUACGCAUAUGUCACAGAGGCAGACAUGCUGUUGACUUGCAACAUAGUUUUUCUUUUGGCUGGAAUGUGAAUAUCAUUAAGUAUGAAAAGUUUAGGUUUUUCAAUAUAGCCUAUCUAAUGUAAGUGUUUGUUGUAAGAAAAAAGAAGAAGAAAUAAAAACAAGGAGAACCUAGUUCAUAUAUACAAACACAAAAUAUCCCUAUUUUCUUGUUAAAAACAUUUGAUAGAAGUAUAUCAUCGUAUUAUAUAUUGUUGACGUGUAAGUUUUUCUAUCUGAUGAAUUGCAUACACAUUGGGAUUAUUUUAAAUUUACACUAGUGUGAAAAUUUCAUAUAUUCUUUAAAAGUAAUUAUUUAGUUACAAUUUAAGGAAAUGAUGAAAUCAACAUUUUUUUAUGAACUGAGGCUUUCUAUUUAAAUGUAAAGUUGUGCAAUGGACAAUUCGAAGAUAAUUUCACUAAUUAGUUGCGAUAAAUUAACUUUUAGAAAUUUUAUUUUCAUUAAUCUAUAUAAAUGAAUAAAUUAUUUUUAUGGAUUCAAACUUUAAUUAUUAUUUUUAAUGAAUCCUUAGUUAGAUUAUUGGACUAAGGAGAUUUUCAUAAUUAAAACAUAUCUUAAAGAGCUACUUGGUGGUGGGUUAAGUGGUAAGUAAUAGAUAUAUGGGACCCUAGAUAUAUUAAGAAAAUAGUUAUAGAAAUAUGAGUUUGACUACUAAGUAAUACACAAUUAUUAUUGAACCGUCAUAUUCAACUUCUUCUUCGAAAUUAGAAAAUAUUAUUACAGUUCAAUCAAAAAAGCUAUUAUUACAGUAACGUCUUAAGGGGUAUUUACGUCAAAUAAGAUUCCCUGAUUACAUAAUUACACCCAAGUAAAUAACGGAUUCAGACGAAACAAGAGAGAUAAAGAAACCAAAAGAGAAACAUCUCUCAAAUGGCCACCAUUAGAGUACCAGACGAAGUUCCUUCUCCAGCUCAAGAUUCCGAAACUCUCAACCAAGCUUUCCGCGGUACGUUUACCAUCGGUUUCUGCAUUUUUGUGUUGUGUGUGGUUCUCUCGAAACAAGAUGUAUUGUCUGUCUUUGUAGGAUGGGGAACAGACGAGAAGGCGAUCAUACGCGUCUUAGGAAAAAGAAACGAGAGUCAAAGAAAAAGAAUCAGAGAGAGUUACAGAGAGAUUUACGGCAAAGAUCUUAUUGAUGUUCUCACCUCUGAACUGUCUGGUGAUUUCAUGGUACUAAAACAUUGAGGUUAUAGAUUGUUUGUGUAUCUUCUAUAACGUGAAAACAUGAAAACUUGUGAUUGUAUUCGCAGAAAGCUGUGGUUUUAUGGACUUAUGUUCCAGCAGAGAGAGACGCAAGGCUAGCUAACAACGUCUUGAAUGGGAAGAAGAAAAGCAUAGAGAAACUUAAGAUCAUCGUAGAGAUCUCUUGCACAACUUCUCCUAACCAUUUGAUUGCUGUGAGGAAAGCUUACUGUUCUCUCUUCGACUUAUCUCUUGAAGAACACAUUGCUUCCUCUGUCCCUUUCCCUCUUGCAAAGGUAUACCUUCUUUUGAGUUUUGAUUGUUGUCAUGAGAAGCUAAAGUCUUGAUAUGGUCUUUUAUUGUAUAAACUGCACACAGGUACUGGUGACUUUGGCAACUUCUUUUAGAUAUGACAAAGAUAUGGCUGAUACAGAAGUAGCUACUAUUGAGGCCGGUAUGCUGCGUGAAGCGAUCACAGCGAAGCAACUAGAUCAUGAUCAUGUCCUAUACAUAUUAGGAACUCGCAGUAUCUACCAGCUCAGAGAAACCUUUGUUGCUUACAAGCAGAGUUAUGGGAACACGUUAGAUAAGGUGAGUUUGGCUUUCAUUUAUGUUAUGUGUAUUCGUUAUCUCGAAUGAAAAUGACCCUAGCAUUUGUGUCGGAAGUUCGACUGCUUUCGAACUUCCGGAACAAAACUAAUAUUACAUGUUGUGGUUACGGCACUGGGAGAUUACGGGUUUCUGCCCGAAUCUCUUGGUUAUUUUUUUUUAAAGAUUUUAUAUGUAAUUCUUUACUUGAUGCUUGAUGUUGUGUUGUUAUAUGGACAGGAUGUUGAUGGAUGUCCGGGAGAUGCUGAUCUGAAAAGUCUAUUACAGAUGGUGAUCUUGUGCAUUGAGUUCCCUGAGAAACACUUUGCAAAGGUACUUCAAAAACAUUUGAGCAGAUGUUACUCAAGUAGACAACAAAGGCGUUUUAUCUUCUUUCCUUUGACUUUUGUGUUUUUUGUUUAUGUUUAAUUUACAGGUUGUAAGAGACUCCAUUGAAGGGUUUGGAACAGAUGAAGAUUCGUUGACGAGAGGGAUUGUGACGCGUGCAGAGAUUGAUCUGAUGAAAGCAAGAGGAGAGUACUAUAACAUGUACAAUACAAGCAUGGAUAACGCUAUUAUUGGUGAUGUUUCCGGUGACUACAAGGACUUCCUCCUCACUUUGCUUGGUUCCAACAUCUGAUCUUUGUUUUUCUUUUAAUAUUCUUGGCUUGUGAUUUGUGUGACUUGUAAGAAAAACUUCUUUUCUCUCUCCGGUUUGAACAAAUGUUAUAAAAAUAAUCAAACUACUCUUGUUUCUUGAUUUUUAAUGAUAUGUUGUAUAUAUUUGAAAAAGUACCUAAAACUAAAAAAAAUGUAGGUAGAGCCAAAUACAAAUCAGGCCUGCCACGCCAAAGUGUAGUUCACAUGGACGUCACGUUCGGGUUAUAUUUGGAUUGGAUUGAUAUAUGUUCGAGUUAGGUUUGGUUAAUCAUAUUUUUGAUUAUAAUUUUUUUUUUUUAUAAUUUUCUAAAAAAUUUCAUUUCAAAUUAAAAUUCAUUUUGGGUUCAGUUAAUAAUAUUUUGAAUUUAAAUAUUUUACAACCGGACCAUGAUAGAUAGACAUAAAGUUAAAUAUUUGAAAUAUUUAUUUAGUAUUGUGAAUAGUCUCAUUUCAAAUGCUAAUUUAAUACGGACAAGAUUUGGAUAAUAUGAAAAUCCAAAAUAUUUUAAUUAAAGUUUGUUUUGGACAUGGGUUUCAGUUACUAAUGUCCAGACUUAGUAGUGGGCCGCAGAAACAAAACUCAAGCCCAAUAUUAUGAUAAGCAAGAAUGGCACUCACGUGACAUCUCCAAAACGGCAUAAAGUCCGGCGGGAAGGCAGACUAUUCCGAUGUGACAAGCACACUCUUCGUUAAUCAAAUAUGGUAAAAAGAUUUAAAUAUUUUUCUUGAGAUAUUUUGUGCAGAUUGAGUUUUAAAAAAAUGUGUGGCUCUUGUCAUCUUCCACCAAAUCACACAAGGCUCCAAAAAAAAAAAAAAACAUUUUCCUCCAGCUUCUUUGGAGUCAUCUUCUUUAUUUCAUUUUCUUCUCUUUCUCUGUGAUCCUUAAACCCUUUCCAUGGCCUCUAUCUCCAGAGUUCUGCCAACAGAUGGCAGAUUAAGUCAUUGCACUUCAUGGGUUCCUGUAACUCUUGUGAGGAGAGCUCAAACUCCACCUGGUAUAUAACAUCAGCGAUCCUUUUAAUCUAACACAAAGUCUCUGGCUUUUUUUGUUGCUGAUGAAUCCAUUUCUCUGUGUUUAUUUCAGAUUCUCUCAAGUUGUUUCCCGUUAGUAAAGCUGGAGUAAGUUUAAGGAUUCAGAACAGUAGUAGACCGUUACGCUCUGUCUUUGCUCUCGAGUCACCUUCCUCCAGGUACUUUAUUGGGGACUAAAUAAAAUUCAUCUAUUGAUGUAAUUUUCUCUAGUUAGAUGCGAGAUUUUGAAGGCCUGUGGCUAUGUUUAGUUAUGAAAAUUUAUUUUACAAAUUUGGAAAUCUAAAUUUUUUUUUUUGAAGUCUAUUUGUUUGUAAUUUUUUUAAAAAAAAUUUAGGGGUCUGUGGCAAAUGUUUCGGUUAGCAUGGCCAGGGCCGACAUCUAACUUAGAUGUGGGUCAAGUUCAAGUUAGCUUCUUGUUUAACAUGUUCGUUGUGAACUUUACAGGAGCAGCCGAGUUGCUUGCAAUGCUGCUGCAGAUAUGUCAGGUGAUGCACCUGAAAGCACUCCUAAGGAACUGAGCCAGUACGAGAAGAUUAUUGAGCUUUUGACCACCCUUUUCCCACUUUGGGUACCUUUUGAUGAACUCUAUAUGCGUUUGAUAUCUCAAAAUGGUGGAGUGAAUGUGAUGCUUUCUUUUUUGUUUGUUGGUGUGCAGGUUAUUUUGGGAACACUUGUUGGCAUCUUCAAGCCAUCUUUGGUAUGCUUUCUUCCAUGCUUCUUAUUUUUUAAUCUUAUGUCAAUCUAAUAGAUUGUCUUUUUAUGUAGGUUACAUGGUUGGAAACAGACCUCUUCACUCUAGGUCUGGGCUUUCUCAUGCUCUCCAUGGGAUUAACUCUUACCUUUGAAGAUUUCAGAAGAUGUUUACGUAACCCCUGGACGGUGAGACCCUAUGACCAACUGUGUAUCUACUCUCUUUAUGUUAACAUUUGGACUCCUCUUGCAGGUGGGUGUUGGUUUUCCCUUUUCUUUUGGUUGUUGAUGAUUGUUGAGGAGCCACCUAAUACUAAACCUUUUAUCAUAGACUCUUAAGCUUUCAGCACCUCUUGCAACUGGUCUUAUCCUGGUCUCAUGCUGCCCUGGAGGACAGGCGUCAAACGUUGCCACCUACAUUUCCAAGGGCAACGUAGCACUCUCUGUACUCAUGACAACGUAUAUACUUUUUUUUUUCACUUGUUUUUUUUUUCGUUUUUUGAAGGCCUCUCAAUAAUAUGUUCUCUAAUUUUAUAGGUGUUCAACAAUCGGAGCUAUUAUAAUGACUCCUCUUCUCACUAAGCUUCUUGCUGGCCAGCUUGUUCCCGUUGAUGCUGCUGUGAGUUUUUCUUUGUAACCAGAAAUAAGCAAAAUAGAAUUGUAUAACAAGAUAGUUGCAUCCUGCCAUAACAAAGGCUUUUUUGACAUUAGGGACUAGCUCUUAGCACUUUUCAAGUAGUGUUGGUGCCUACUAUAGUUGGAGGUAAAGUAUUGAGCUCAGUGUUUCUAGAACAAUGAAUUUACCCAUGUUUCCUUAUGGACUAUAUAGUCUUCUUUUAUUUGUGUGACAGUUCUGGCUAAUGAGUUCUUUCCUAAGUUUACGUCCAAGAUUAUAACAGUGACACCUCUAAUUGGAGUCAUUCUGACCACUCUUCUCUGUGCUAGCCCUGUAAGUAAAAUUUCAUAUAACCAGAAAAAUUGAAUUCUUUAGAAGUGAAAGUAGUAUUGACUCUUGUGAAAAGAUUGGACAAGUUUCAGAGGUUUUGAAAACGCAAGGAGGUCAACUUAUACUCCCAGUAGCACUCCUUCAUGCUGCGGCCUUUGCUAUUGGCUAUUGGAUUUCAAAGUUCUCUUUCGGCGAGUCCACUUCCCGCACCAUUUCUAUAGAAUGUGGAAUGCAAGUAAGUUAACUUCUCCUUCACCAACAAAUAUAUUGCCGUUUGUUUGGUAAGAAGUUCCUUUUUUCAAAGAAACUUUUAUUUGUUUGGUUAGAAGUUCCUUUUUCAAGAAAGUUUAUUGUUUUUGGCAAAUUGUAGAGUUCAGCGCUGGGGUUCUUGCUUGCACAAAAGCAUUUCACAAAUCCUCUGGUCGCUGUUCCUUCUGCAGUCAGUGUUGUCUGUAUGGCGGUAAGUUUUCAUAGGCAUUGUUCUUUGAACCAAUGUGUAGUUUAUGUUUAGUGGCAUUGCUGUAAUCAUGGUCCAUUGCAUUAUGCAGCUCGGCGGGAGUGGAUUAGCUGUGUUCUGGAGAAACCAACCGAUUCCGGAAGAUGACAAGGAUGACUUCAAAGAGUGAAAAGCUAAUCUGUGUCUAUGGGAUUGUCUUGUUUGUAGACAUGCUCCCUUGUGUUUGAUUAAAGGACAUAACACAAGAUCUUUAUUAAAAAAAGACAAAACAAGGAUAUCAUUCUCUAUUUUAAGAGGUGAAUAUAGCAAUGAGUAGGAGAUGCUCUUAUGAAAACAUUUAUGCAAGUGAAGGGUUGGUUAAAGAAAAAAAAACUGCAAGAUGACUUUUGAUUGUUUGCUUACAAGUUAAAAGCCCAAAUUUUUAUUUUUUUGAAGUUUAAAAUAUUUUUGUAAAAAAAUCUUGUGUUUUAAGGAUAACACAUUUUUUUGUGAAAGGGAUAAAACAUCUAAUAAAUAAAAAACAAGGAGCAAAAGAGAAAAUAUUUUUUUCUUAAAAAAUGAGAAAAUAAAUUAAAACAAUCGUUUGAACAUUUUUUUAUUUGACACCUUUUUUGUUUUCUUCACUUAACUGCAUUGCUUUAUUCCUGCUUUUAAUAUUAGAAAACAAACGUGACGUAUAAUCAACUGUUACAUACCUUUUUUCACGAGAAAAUAAAUGUGUUUGAUUGCGUGUCAAUUAGUAUCUCGUUUAAGCUUCUAGAUUAAAAAGGGAAAUCAAACGAUGAGAUUAGCAACCCCGCAGGGACGGAGCUACAUUAGGUAAGUAGGGGGCAGUUGCCCCCCAUAAAAUUUUAAAAUUUCAUUUAAAUGCUUAGGAAAAAAUUGAUUGCCCCAGUUGAAAAAUAUUUAUUGCCCCCCCCCCUCCUCCCUCCCAGCAAAAUCAGCUCGCAAAGUUCAAUAUAAAGUUUCCAUUAUUUCUGUUUUGUUAACAUUAUUAUGUUGCCUUAUUUAAUUUGAACAUUAAACCAUUAUUUCCAUUUUUAUAUAAUGAAAAUGAUUUUCUUUCUUCAAGAACAGUUUGCUUGAUAGUUUUACUGAACAGAAAAUUAAUAUAUAUUUAUCUAAUAAGUAAAUAUACUCAAUGACAAUAAAAAUACAAUAUUUUUAUUUUAGUGAUUAUCUGUUUAUUUUAUGAGUGAAAAAUUUUCUUAAAAAAAAUUUCUUUAUGAUUUUGUUCUUUUCAUCAUUUUGAAGUACCAUAAAUUUUAAGGAAGACAUUUUAAAUUUUAAUCAAUACUUUUUAAAAAAAAAAAUUGGUUUUAUAAACUAUAUUCUAUAAUGAAUUUAUAUAGUUGACAAAAUGAAUUUAUUAAAUAAUUAAUAUUUAAUAAUAAUUUUAUUUAUAAUUAUUAUUUGCUCCCGGUAAAUUUUUUUUCUAGCUCCGCCACUGGCAACCCCUACAAACAAGUUACGGUAUACGGAUAUACUGUACUAAAAAUAGGCGAAUAUACUUUCGUACAAAAGCAAAAAGUACGAACUAAAACUACGGAGGGGCAUUUCCGUCAUCUUCUUUAUCAACUUAUUCCGGGUGGAUCCGUUAACAGACUCCGGCACAAGUGGAGUCGCAGACACGUCCGGAUCUUUGUCACUUACGAAGAACCAACACCCUUAAUCUCACGACACGUGUUCCUGACCGUCUUCGAAGUUACUAAUUUUGACACGUAGGACAACCACGUGUGCACUAUAUCCUUCCUCUUUAUAAAAACCGAACACAAAGCCUUAUCCUUUGUCUUCUUCUUCGUUCAGUUUCAGAUCAGAGAGAUUUUGUUCUGUUUUCUUUUUUUUUCGUUUUCGAAAAUUCAGUUUUUCUUCGAAACUAAUGAUCACAAAAAGCAUAAAGAUCUAACGUUCUCGCGUCGUCGCGUAUCUCGGUGACUUUAUUACCGUAUCUAAAGACUUGAGAAUAAAGCAAUCUUUCUCCUCUUUUUUUCUUAUAUAUUUAUAUUUUGGCUCAAGUUCGAAACCAUCGUAAUGCCGUUUCACACGAAGAUCCAACCGAUCGACUUGUCGGAAGAUCUACCGACGAUGAAGCAAAUGCCGAAGUCGCGUUUGAAGCGCCUCUUCGAGCGUCAGUUCAGUAUCAAGAACGCCACCGUCGACGAGUUCGACGCGCCGCCGCCUUCUAGAGGCAACUCCGGAGAUUUCGAGCCUAGUUCCGUCUGUUUAGGGAAGAUGGUUGUGAACUUCAUGGAGGAUAACAAGGAGGAGGAGGAGAAACAGAGGUGCGGUCGUAGCCGGUGUAGCUGCUUUACCGGGAGUGGAACAGAGAGCUCCGGCGAUGAAUCUGAAUGGUCGGAUAAUGUCAAGUGUUCGUCUGGUGAAGCUUGCGUGAUGCUCAAGGUAUGUUCUCUAGGUUUUUGCUUUAUAAAGGGUAAAGCAGAAACCUGAUGGAUCCAGAUUCGUUUUUGUAGAGUUUGGUUCUGUGUACGAGCAUCAGCGAGAGGAAUGUAAUGGCUGAUGUGACCAAGAUUGUGGAGACAAGUAAGCGUAAAGACCAAUCUUGCUUGAAGAACCUGGUCAGUGUGUUGGUGAGGUUAGGUUACGAUGCGGCUAUAUGCAAAUCUCGUUGGGAGAAGACUCCUUCCUAUCCUACAGGGGAGUAUGAGUAUGUGGAUGUGAUCAUGGAAGGCGAAAGACUGUUGAUCGAUAUUGAUUUCAAGUCCAACUUCGAGAUUGCUCGUGCGACCAAGACCUACAAGUCGAUCCUGCAAACUAUUCCUUGUAUCUUUGUAGGCAAAGCGGAUCGGUUGCAGAGGAUCAUCAUGCUUCUAUCUAAAGCGGCAAAGCAGAGUUUGAAGAAGAAAGGACUUCAUGUGCCACCGUGGAGGAGAGCUGAGUAUGUUAAAUCGAAGUGGCUGUCUACUUACGUUCGUGGAGAGGAGAAGCAGGAAACGGUAGAUAUGUUGAGUGCAUCGGUAGGUGGUUCCAUAGUCUUUGGUGUUUGAAGAUUGUGUGGAAGGUUUUGUUAUAAUGACAUAAAAAGCCUCUAAGAGAGGUGUUGUGAGAGAUAGGAGUGUUCUGAGUCCCUUAAUAGUUUUUUUGAUACUUAAGGGUAUGAACUGAUGAAUCACAGUGUCUCCCCUUGUCUUUUUUUUUGGUGUAAGGGAGACUGUGUUCAGACUCUGUGACUCUGUCUUUGCUUUUGUGAGAUUAAUGGAUUAUAAUAAUUAACCAAUAAUUGUUGCACCUAUUGGUUUUAAUAAGACAUUCAGAAUCCUUUGAGAAGAUAAAAUGCUCCUAUGUAUUUGAUUUGCUGAUUUAGUAUGGGAGGCUCAAGAAGAAAUUUAGCUAAUAUGAACUGAGAGAAUAUGAACAUAGAAAGAAGAGGUUAGGUAACAUCAUGAGGCUAAAUACAUCAUUAAUUACCAUGAUGGGUUGUAAUAUUUUAAUCUGGUGCUAGGAGUUUUUCACCUUUUCUUAAAUAGUUCACCAAUAUUUUUCACCUGCAUAUAGUUUCACUGCUACAUGUACACACGGUCUCAAAGUCUUAGCAGAGAAAAAAACAAUGAAAAUUCUUGUCAAAGCUAAUGGCCUUGAAUGGAAAUUGUUUUUUUUAUAGGUUUCACAAAUGAAAGAUGAUAAAGAUUUGUAGAGGAAAAGCUGAAAUGAGAUAAUAUCAAAGCGAAGACAAUUCAAAUGUAAUGGCGAGGCAUAAAGCUGAUAUAGAAGUAAAAAAGAGAGGAAUCUAGAGAAGCACAUCAUCAGAGUUAGUAAAACUGGACCACCUAGCUAACAAUGUGGUCCAUUUCACCUAGUUCACAAUAAUCUUUUAGCUUUAGAUUAACUGAUUAAGUAAUAAAGACAUAAACUUCCACAAAAUAAUACAGAACAGUCACUAUCCUUUAUUCCGUAAGCUUGACUCAACAUAUCUUAAGUCCUUUCAUUGUGAAAACAAUAGAAUGAGGUUUCAAAACCAAGAACAUCACAAAUAGCACAACCAGAUUUAGCCUCAAAAUCAUCAUCAUCAACAUCAUCAGCCACUGGUCUUUUUUCCCGGUCCUACACUGAUCCAGAUCAGAAUGACUUAUCAGAAAGUCUGAUCCAGCUAUAGUUGGUUGCUUUGUGGGGUUAAACAUUACUUUAGUCACUAUUAUAUGUUUUUGAGACACUCAUAAUAUCAUUUGAGAAGAGAAUGAGCUGGCUUCUAUUGAGUUGUUGUUACUACAUUAUUAUUAAAGAAGUAAACCUAUAAUGUCACGUACUUUGCAUAUGUACAGAAUUAUUAAUAGUUUCGUUGACGAAAUUAUGUACUUCCUUGGCGUGGGGAGCAAGAUCCUCGUUGAUCAGUUUAAUACUCAGAUAAUGUGAUUAUAUAAGAACAGAAUACUUGCAAAGUAAAGAUACUAUCAAAGACUUUUUGUUAAUAGCAUUCACAAACACGACAAACAGAAAAGAGGCUAUGGAUUAUACAGGCAACAAACUGGAGAGACAUAACUUAGAAGCUGAGAAACGACUCAAGAGGGUGGAACAAGAUUAUCUCCACACAAGCCAAAAGUACAUAGAAUCAGAUGUAAGUUUUCAAGACAUGUAAGCCCUGAAACAUACCACCCAAAACAUUAAAAAUGCU